CCCCCCCUCCUAUAGGUGCUCUCAAUUGGUAUCAGAUCCAUUCUCUUCACAAAGGGACUAACCGCUCGAAGAGAUGGAUCCUAAAGGGAAGGGAAUCGUGAUCAACGACAAGGAGAAGGAGUCCUUCGUCAACGAGCCAAGGGAUGACAAGUCCAACGACUCGGGCUCGGGCCACAGACGCAAAGAUGGGAAGAAGAACAAGACAAGACACAUCAAGGAGAUCGUCUACUACGACAGCGAUGAGUCUACUUCCUCCCAAAAGGACGACGACCACAAUGAAUACGAGAGAAAGAAACCGGUCAAUUCGAACUUUUCUUUUGAUUACUCUCGUAUUCCUCAAAGUACUAAUGCUCAUUUAUUAUCUAUUCCACUUGGUAAACCUCCUCAUUUUGAUGGAGAGGACUACGGAUUUUGGAGUCACAAAAUGCGUAGUCACUUGUUCUCUCUCCAUCCUAGCAUAUGGGAGAUUGUAGAAAGUGGAAUGCACUUUGAUAGCACGAAUAGUCCCAUGUUUAUUAAUGAACAGAUUCAUAAAAAUGCACAAGCUACUACUGUGUUGCUAGCCUCUUUGUGCAGGGACGAGUACCAUAAGGUGAGCGGCUUGGACAAUGCCAAGCAGAUCUGGGACACCCUCAAGAUCUCUCAUGAGGGGAAUGAUGUCACCUUGCUCACCAAAAUGGAGUUGGUGGAAGGCGAGCUUGGACGGUUCGCGAUGAUAAGGGGCGAGGAGCCGACACAAACAUACAAUCGGCUCAAGACCCUCAUCAACAAAAUAAGGAGCUACGGGAGCACGCGAUGGACGGACCACGACGUCGUCCGCCUAAUGCUAAGGUCAUUUACCAUUCUUGAUCCUCAUUUGGUAAACAAUAUACGUGAAAAUCCCAGGUACACCAAGAUGUCGCCCGAAGAAGUUCUUGGGAAAUUCGUUAGUGGGCGAAUGAUGAUCAAGGAGGCGAGGUACGUAGACGACGCCUUGAAUGGUCCGAUCAACGAGCCGCAACCCCUUGCUCUCAAGGCAACACGAAGCAAGGAGGCGCUACCUAGCAAGGUGGCACAGAUUGAGGCGGCCGGACUUAAUGAUGAAGAGAUGGCUCUCAUCAUCAAAAGAUUCAAGACGGUGCUUAAAGGUCGCAAGGGACAGCCAAGCAAGACCAAAGCCAAGGGGAAGCGCUCAUGCUUCAAAUGCGGUAAGCUUGGUCAUUUUAUUGCUAACUGUCCCGACAAUGAUAGUGAUCAGGAUCAAGGGAACAAGAGGGAGAAAAAGAAUAAUUAUAAGAAGGCAAAGGGCGAGGCUCAUCUUGGCAAGGAGUGGGAUUCGGACUGCUCUUCGUCCGACUCCGACAAUGAAGGACUCGCCGCCACCGCCUUCAACAAGUCAUCCCUCUUCCCCAACGAGCGACACACUUGCCUCAUGGCAAGGGAGAAGAAAGUAAGCACUCAUAAUACUAGUACUUAUGCUUCUUCAAGUGAGGAUGAGUCUAGUGAUGAUGAUGAGAUAGAUUACUCAUGCUUAUUCAAGGGAUUAGAUAGAACCAAGGUAGACAAAAUUAAUGAAUUGAUUGAUGCCUUGAAUGAUAGGAAUAUACUUUUAGAAAAACAAGAGGAUUUGUUGUAUGAAGAACAUGAUAAAUUUGUAGAAGCUCAAAAUUCUCUUGCUCUAGAAAUUAAAAGGAAUGAAAUGCUCUCUAGUGAAUUAUCUACUUGUCAUGAAUCCAUCUCUAAAUUAAAAAGUGUUAAUGAUGAUUUGAAUGCUAAGUUAGAAAUAGCUAGUAAAUCAACAUCUUGUGUAGAAAUUGUUGAAACUUGUAAUAGGUGUAAAGAUUUUGACAUUGAUGCUAGUAGUGAACACCUAGUUUCAAUUUCCAAACUUAAUGAUGAAUUGGCUAGUCUUAAUGCUCAACUUAAGACUAGCAAGAGUAAUUUUGAUAAGCUAAAAUUUGCAAGGGAUGCCUACACAAUUGGUAGACACCCCUCAAUCAAGGAUGGACUUGGCUACAAGAGGGAAGCCAAGAACUUGACAAGCCAUAAGGCCCCCAUCUCCGCCAAGGAGAAAGGAAAGGCCCCUAUGGCUAGUAGUGUGCAAAAGAACCAUGCUUUUAUGUACCAUGAUAGGAGACAAUCUAGAAAUGCUUAUAGAAGUUGUAAUGCAUAUAAUGCCCUUGAUUCUCAUGCCAUGUUUGCUUCUAGUUCUUCUUAUGUGCAUGAUAGAAAUGUUGGUAGGAGAAAUGAUGUUCAUAAUGUUCCUAGGAAAGUAAAUGAACCCUCUACAAUUUAUCGUGCUUUAAAUGCUUCCUUUGCUAUUUGUAGAAAGGAUAGGAAAAUAGUUGCUAGAAAAUUAGGGGCAAGAUGCAAGGGAGACAAAACUUGCAUUUGGGUCCCUAAGGAUAUUUGUGCUAACCUUGCAGGACCCAACAUGAGUUGGGUACCUAAGACCCAAGCAUAAAUUUGCCUUGCAGGUUUAUGCAUCCGGGGGUUCAAGCUGGAUUAUUGACAACGGAUGCACAAACCAUAUGACGGGGGAGAAGAAGAUGUUCACCUCCUACGUCAAGAAUAAAGAUUCCCAAGAUUCAAUAAUAUUCGGUGAUGGGAAUCAAGGCUAGGUAAAAGGGUUAGGUAAAAUUGCAAUCUCAAAUGAGCACUCUAUCUCUAAUGUGUUUUUAGUAGAGUCUCUUGGAUAUAAUUUGCUAUCUGUUAGUCAAUUAUGCAAUAUGGGAUAUAACUGUUUGUUUACAAAUGUAGAUGUGUCUGUCUUUAGAAGAUGUGAUGGUUCACUAGCUUUUAAGGGUAUUCUAGACGGCAAGCUUUACUUAGUUGAUUUUGCAAAAGAAGAGGCCGGUCUAGAUGCAUGCUUAAUGGCUAAGACUUGCAUGGGCUGGCUGUGGCAUCGCCGCUUAGCACAUGUGGGGAUGAAGAACCUCCACAAGCUUCUUAAGGGAGAACACGUGAUAGGUCUAACCAAUGUUCAUUUCGAAAAAGAUAGACCUUGUGCAGCUUGUCAAGCAGGGAAACAGGUGGGAGGCUCUCAUCACACCAAAAUUGUGAUGACAACAUCAAGACCCCUGGAGCUGCUACAUAUGGACCUCUUCGGAUCCGUCGCCUAUCUGAGCAUAGGAGGAAGUAAGUAUGGUCUAGUUAUCGUUGAUGACUUUUCCCGCUUCACUUGGGUGUUCUUUUUGCAGGAUAAGUCUGAAACCCAAGGGACCCUCAAGCGCUUCCUCAGGAGAGCUCAAAAUGAGUUUGAGCUCAAGGUGAAGAAGAUAAGGAGCGACAACGGGUCCGAGUUCAAGAACCUUCAAGUGGAGGAGUUCCUUGAGGAGGAAGGGAUCAAGCACGAGUUCUCCGCUCCCUACACACCACAGCAAAAUGGUGUGGUAGAGAGGAAGAACAGGACGCUAAUCGAUAUGGCGAGGACGAUGCUUGGAGAAUUCAAGACCCCCGAGUGUUUCUGGUCGGAAGCCGUGAACACGGCUUGCCACGCCAUCAACAGGGUCUACCUUCAUCGCCUCCUCAAGAAGACUUCGUAUGAGCUACUAACCGGUAACAAACCCAAUGUAUCUUACUUUCGUGUAUUUGGGAGCAAGUGCUACAUUCUAGUAAAGAAGGGUAGAAAUUCUAAGUUUGCUCCCAAAGCUGUAGAAGGGUUUUUGUUAGGUUAUGACUCAAAUACAAAGGCGUAUAGAGUCUUCAACAAAUCAUCGGGUUUGGUUGAAGUCUCUAGCGACGUUGUAUUUGAUGAGACUAAUGGCUCUCCAAGAGAGCAAGCUGUUGAUCUUGAUGAUGUAGAUGAAGAAGACGUUCCAACGGCCGCUAUGCGCACCAUGGCGAUUGGUGAUGUGCGACCACAGGAACAAUUGGAGCAAGAUCAACCUUCUUCCUCAACAAUGAUGCAUCCCCCAACUCAAAACGAUGAACAUGUUCAUCAAGAGGAGUGUGAUCAAGGGGGAGCACAAGAUGAUCAUGUGAUGGAGGAAGAAGCACAACCGGCACCUCCAACCCAAGUUCGAGCGAUGAUUCAAAGGGAUCAUCCCAUCGACCAAAUUCUGGGUGAUAUUAGCAAGGGAGUAACUACUCGAUCUCGAUUAGUUAAUUUUUGUGAGCAUUACUCCUUUGUCUCUUCUAUUGAGCCUUUCAGGGUAGAAGAGGCCUUGCUAGAUCCGGACUGGGUGUUAGCCAUGCAGGAGGAACUCAACAACUUCAAGCGAAAUGAAGUUUGGACACUGGUGCCUCGUCCCAAGCAAAACGUUGUGUGAACCAAGUGGGUAUUCCGCAACAAACAGGACGAGCACGGGGUGGUGACGAGGAACAAGGCUAUGCCCAAGUCGCAGGUUUGGACUUUGAGGAGACGUUUGCUCCUGUGGCUAGGCUAGAAUCAAUUCGUAUCUUGCUAGCAUAUGCCGCUCACCAUUCUUUCAGGUUGUUCCAAAUGGAUGUGAAGAGCGCUUUCCUCAACGGGCCAAUCAAGGAGGAGGUGUACGUGGAGCAACCCCCUGGCUUCGAGGAUGAACGGUACCCCGACCACGUGUGUAAGCUCUCUAAGGCACUCUAUGGACUUAAGCAAGCCCCAAGAGCAUGGUAUGAAUGCCUUAGAGACUUUCUAAUUGUUAAUGCUUUCAAGGUUGGGAAAGCCGAUCCAACUCUUUUUACUAAGACAUGUGAUGGUGAUUUGUUUGUGUGCCAAAUUUAUGUUGAUGACAUAAUAUUUGGUUCUACUAACCAAAAGUCUUGUGAAGAGUUUAGCAGGGUGAUGACGCAGAAAUUCGAGAUGUCGAUGAUGGGCGAGUUGAACUACUUCCUUGGGUUCCAAGUGAAGCAACUCAAGGACGGCACCUUCAUCUCCCAAACGAAGUACACGCAAGAUCUACUAAAGUGGUUUGGGAUGAAGGACGCCAAGCCCGCAAAGACUCCGAUGGGAACCGACGGACACACCGAUCUCAACAAAGGAGGUAAGUCCGUUGAUCAAAAAGCAUACCGGUCAAUGAUAGGGUCUUUACUUUAUUUAUGUGCUAGUAGACCGGAUAUCAUGCUUAGCGUAUGCAUGUGUGCUAGAUUUCAAUCCGAUCCUAAGGAGUGUCACUUAGUGGCGGUGAAGCGAAUUCUUAGAUAUUUGGUUGCUACGCCCUGCUUCGGGCUCUGGUAUCCAAAGGGGUCUACCUUUGACUUGGUUGGAUACUCAGAUUCCGACUAUGCUGGAUGUAAGGUCGAUAGGAAGAGUACAUCAGGGACGUGCCAAUUCUUAGGAAGGUCCCUGGUGUCGUGGAACUCUAAGAAACAAACCUCCGUUGCCCUAUCCACCGCUGAGGCCGAGUAUGUUGCCGCAGGACAGUGUUGCGCGCAGCUACUUUGGAUGAGGCAAACCCUCCAGGACUUUGGCUACAAUCUGAGCAAAGUCCCACUCCUAUGUGACAAUGAGAGUGCUAUCCGCAUGGCGGAAAAUCCUGUUGAACACAGCCGCACAAAGCACAUAGACAUCCGGCAUCACUUUUUGAGAGACCACCAGCAAAAGGGAGAUAUCGAAGUGUUUCAUGUUAGCACCGAGAACCAGCUAGCCGAUAUCUUCAUUAAGCCUCUAGAUGAGAAGACCUUUUGCAGGUUGCGUAGUGAGUUAAAUGUCUUAGAUUCGCGGAACCUGGAUUGAUUUAUAGCAUACAUGUGUUUAUGCCUUUAAUCAUGUUCAUUCUGCAUUGUGUUGCUUAUUAUGGUGCUCAAGUUGUACAAGCACUCCCCGGACCUCACAAGUCCUGGUGCCAGUAAUGCACAUAUUUAGGGGGAGAUGUGUUACAACUUGACCCUUUGAGACUAACCGUUUGUUUGAGUUUGAUUGUUUUAGUCUCAAAGAAGGUUUGAAAGGGAAAGGUGGACUUGGACCGUGAAAGACUUCCACUGCACUCCGAUGAGAGGGUAACUUAUUCCAAGUUCAUCUUUAAACUCUUAUUGCCUAUUUGCUCUUAAUUGAAGAUUUUGGUGAGGCAAUGGGGUCAAAGGGCCAAGAUUGAUCCCGUUUUGGUGCUUGAUGCCAAAGGGGGAGAAAAUAAAGGCCAAAGCAAUAAAUGGAUCAACUACCACUUGAGAAACUUUGAAAACAGUAGGAUAGAGCUUUUGGUUUGUCAAAACUCUUGCAUUGUCUCUUUUGUCAAAAGUUGGCCUCUUGUGGGGAGAAGUGUUGAUUAUGGGAAAAAGGGGGAGUUUUUGGAAUCUUGAAUCAAUUUUCUUUGGAAAACCUCUCUUUAUGUCUCUACAAGUGGAUUUGACUUAGAGAUAGGAUUUUGAGUUUGAUUUGCAAAAACAAACCAAGUGGUGGCAAAGGAUGAUCCAUAUAUGCCAAAUUGAAUCAAAAUAAAUUUGAGUUUUUAUUUGAAGUGAUAUUGCACUUGUUCUAGUUGCUUUAUGUUGUGUUGGCAUAAAUCACCAAAAAGGGGGAGAUUGAAAGGGAAAUGUGCCCUUGGGCCAUUUCUAAGUAUUUUGGUGAUUGAGUGCCAACACAAGUGCUUAAAUGUGAAUCUAUGCCCAUGGAUGAACAAAGUGCAAAUCAAGAGUAAAGGUAUGUUUCUAAGCCUUAGUACAUUGGUUUUGUGUACUAAUAUACUUGUCUAAGUGUUAGAAACAGAAAGAAGAAGAAAAGAAAAGAGGUGAAAAAGGCUUGGCUGUGUACAGCCAAGACUCAGCUCUGUCUGGCACACCGGACUGUCCGGUGGUGCACCGGACAGUGUCCGGUGCGCCAGGCUGGCUCGAGCGAAGUGGCCGCUCUCGGGAAUUCACCGGCGACAUACGGCUAAAAUUCACCGGACUGUCCGGUGAGCCAACGGUCGGCCGGGCCAACGGUCGGGCGCGCAAUCUGCGCGAGACACGUGGCUGAGCCAACGGCUAGAAGAUGGCACCGGACUGUCCGGUGUGCACCGGACAUGUCCAGUGCACCAACGGCUCCCAAAUCCGCAACGGUCGACUUCGCUAUUUAAGGAAGGAAAUCGGGCACCGGACUGUCCGGUGUGCACCCCGACUGUCCGGUGCCCCCGAUGACAGAAGGCAAGAAUGGCUUUCCAGAUUUUCUCUCAACGGCUCCUAGCUGCCUUGGGGCUAUAAAAGGGACCCCUAGGCGCAUGGAGGAGGAGACCAAGCAACCUUAGAGCAUUCUUGAUCAUCCACACUUAGUCUUUGCGCAUUCGUUUGUCAUUCUCAGUGAUUCGAGCUCCGUUCUAGUGAGAACUUUGAGAUAGUCUUUUGAGCUCGAUUCUUGGCCGUGUGUGUGCGCAUUUUGCUGUGGAUUUGUGUGUGUUGCUUCCCUCCCUUACUCCGUGCUUCUUUGUGAACUUUAAGUGUAAGGGCGAGAGACGCCAAUUUGUGGAGAUUCCUCGCAAGUGGGAUAAAGAUAAGCAAAGCAAAACACCAUGGUAUUCAAGUGGGUCUUUGGACCGCUUGAGAGGGGUUGAUUGCAACCCUCGUCCGUUGGGACGCCACAACGUGGAGUAGGCAAGCGUUGGUCUUGGCCGAACCACGGGAUAACCACCGUGUCAUCUCUGUGAUUGAUCUUUGUUGGUUAUUGUAUUUUGUUGAGGAUUCCUAUCUAGCCACUUGGCAAUUAUUGUGCUAACGAUUCACCAAGUUUUGUGGCUUAAGUUUUCAAGUUUCACAGGAUCACCUAUUCACCCCCCUCAAGGUGCUCUCAGGUGCGCCAUGCGACAGCACACUUCCAACAACCAUAUUGUCGGCGUUUCGAGACCGGGGGGUCCCUGGGCCGACGAGUGAAGAUGUCGCCGCGUGCCCCAGCCCAGAUGGGUCGGCGCGAGACGGAGCGCGAAGGGGGGAAAAAGUGAAAGGGAAAUGUGCCCUUGGGCCAUUUCUAAGUAUUUUGGUGAUUAAGUGCAAACACAGGUGCCAAUAUGUGAAAAUAUGCCCAUGGAUGGACAAGUUGCAAAUCACAAGUAAAGGUAUGUUUCUAAGCCUUAGUGCAUUGGUUUUGUGUACUAAUAUAUUUGUCUAAGUGUUAGAAACAGAAAGAAGAAGAAGAAGAGAAGACUUGGCUGUGUGCAGCCAAGGGGCUGUUUCGGUCUGGGGCACCGGACUGUCCGGUGGUGCACCGGACAGUGUCCGGUGGUGCACCGGACAGUGUCCGGUGCGCCAGGCUGCCUCGGCCGAAGAGGCCGCUCUCGGGUUUUUCUCCGGCGACUUCGGCUAAAAUUCACCGGACUGUCCGGUGUGCACCGGACUGUCCGGUGAGCCAACGGUCGGCCGGGCCAACGGUCGGCCGCGCGAUCGGCGCGCGACACGUGGCCGAGCCAACGGUCGGAAGGAAGCACCGGACUGUCCGGUGUGCACCGGACAUGUCCGGUGCGCCAACUGUGCGCAGAUCUGACUCAGACAGCAACGGUCGGAUGCGCUGUUUAAGGAAACAAAUCGGGCACCGGACAGUGUCCGGUGUGCACCGGACUGUCCGGUGCGCCCGACGACAGAAGGCAAGGAUAGCCUUCCAGAUGUGUUCUCAACGGCUCCUAGCUGCCUUGGGGCUAUAAAAGGGACCCCUAGGCGCAUGGAGGAGCACACCAAGCAUUCCUACAACUCUUCUAAGCACCAAGACAUCAAUCUCACGCAUUCGUUUCAUUGUGAUAGCAUAUAGAGCUCUUGUGGAGUUGUGAACUCUUUGUGUUGCGUUGCGAGCUCUUGUUGCGACUUGUGUGCGUGUUGUUGCUCUGAUUUUUGAGUCUUGUGUGCGUUGCUCAUUCCCACCUUACUCCGUAUUUCUUUGUGAACUCAAUUGUAAGGGCGAGAGACUCCAAGUUGUGGAGAUUCCUCGCAAACGGGAAAAGAUCAAAGGAAAGAAAAACACCGUGGUAUUCAAGUUGAUCAUUGGAUCACUUGAGAGGAGUUGAGUGCAACUCUCGUCCGUUGGGACGCCACAACGUGGAGUAGGCAAGUUUUGUACUUGGCCGAACCACGGGAUAACCACCGUGUCAACUCUGUGAUUGCUUUCUUGUGGUUAUCGUGUUUUGAGUUCUCUCCAGCCACUUGGCCAUACUUGUGCUAACCCUUAACAAGUUUUUGUGGCCUAAGUUUUGAACUUUUACAGGAUCACCUAUUCACCCCCCCCUCUAGGUGCUCUCAAUUGGUAUCGGAGCCGUUCUCUUCAAGAAAGGGACUAACCGCCCGAAGAGAUGGAUCCUAAGGGGAAGGGAAUUGUGAUCAACGACAAGGAGAAGGAGUCCUUCGUCAACGAGCCAAGGGAUGACAAGUCCAAUGACUCGGGCUCGGGCCACAAGCGAAGAGAUGGGAAGAAGAAGAAGACAAGACGCAUCAAGGAGAUCGUCUACUACGACAGCGAUGAGUCCUCUUCUUCCCAAAAGGACGACGACCACGACAAACAAAGGAAACCGGUUAAUUCGAACUUUUCAUUUGAUUAUUCUCGUAUUCCACAUAGUUCGAAUUCGCAUUUGCUUUCCAUUCCUCUUGGUAAACCUCCACAUUUUGAUGGGGAGGACUACGGGUUUUGGAGUCACAAAAUGCGUAGUCAUUUAUUCUCUCUCCAUCCAAGCAUAUGGGAGAUUGUAGAGAAUGGAAUGAAAUUUGAUAGCUCGGAUAGCCCUAUGUUUAUCAAUGAACAAAUUCAUAAAAAUGCACAAGCUACUACUGUUCUCUUAGCAUCUUUGUGCAGGGAAGAGUACAAUAAGGUGAGCGGCUUGGACAAUGCCAAGCAGAUAUGGGACACCCUCAAGAUCUCUCACGAGGGGAACGACAUCACCAUGCUCACCAAGAUGGAGUUGGUGGAGGGCGAGCUUGGACGAUUCGCCAUGAUAAGGGGAGAAGAGCCAACUCAAACUUACAACCGGCUCAAGACCCUUAUCAACAAGAUAAGGAGCUACGGAAGCACGCGUUGGACGGAUCACGACGUCGUUCGCCUAAUGCUCAGGUCAUUUACCGUUCUUGAUCCUCAUCUCGUGAACAAUAUUCGUGAGAAUCCCAGGUACACGAUGAUGACGCCCGAAGAAGUACUUGGAAAAUUCGUGAGCGGGCGGAUGAUGAUCAAGGAGGCAAGAUACGUCGACGACGCGUUGAAUGGUCCACUCCACGAGUCUCAACCCAUUGCUCUAAAGGCAACAAGGAGCAAGGAGUCGCUACCUAGCAAGGUGGCGCAAAUUGAGGCGGCCGGUCUUAAUGAAGAAGAAAUGGCCCUCAUUAUCAAGAGAUUCAAGACGGUGCUAAAGGGUCGCAAUGGACAGCCGAGCAAGACUAAGACCAAGGGGAAGCGAUCAUGCUUCAAAUGCGGUAAGCUUGGUCAUUUUAUUGCUAACUGUCCUGAUAAUGAAAGUGACCAGGAAAAGGGAAACAAGAGGGAAAAGAAGAAGCAUUAUAAGAAGGCAAAGGGCGAGGCACAUCUAGGCAAGGAGUGGGACUCGGAUUGCUCCUCGUCCGACUCCGAUAAUGAAGGACUCGCCGCCACCGCCUUCAACAAAUCAACCCUCUUCCCCAACGAGCGUCACACAUGCCUUAUGGCAAGGGAGAAGAAGGUAUGUACUCGCAACUCUACCUAUGCUUCUUCAAGUGAGGACGAAUCUAGUGAUGAGGAUGAAGUAGAUUAUUCAUGUUUGUUCAAGGGCUUAGAUAGAUCUAAGAUAGACAAAAUUAAUGAAUUAAUUGAUGCCUUGAAUGAAAAGAAUAUACUUUUAGAAAAGCAAGAGGAUUUGUUGUAUGAAGAGCAUGAUAAAUUUGUUGAGGCACAAAAAUCCUAUGCUUUAGAAGUUAAAAGAAAUGAAAUGCUUUCUUUUGAACUAUCUACUUGUCAUGAAACCAUUUCUACUUUGAAAGGUAUCAACAAUGAUUUAAAUGCUAAAUUAGAAGUAGCAAAUAAAUCCAAUUCUUGUGUAGAACAUGUUGAAAUUUGUACUAGGUGUAAAGAUUUUGACAUUGAUGCUUGUAGUGAACACCUAGUUUCAAUUUCCAAGCUUAAUGAUGAACUGGCUAGUCUUAAUGCUCAACUUAAGACUAGCAAGAAUGAUUUUGAUAAGCUAAAAUUUGCAAGGGAUGCCUACACAAUUGGUAGACACCCCUCAAUUAAGGAUGGACUUGGCUUCAAGAAAGAAGCUAAGAACUUAACAAGCCAUAAGGCUCCCAUUCCCGCCAAGGAGAAAGGGAAGGCCCCUAUGGCUAGUUGUGUGCAAAAGAACCAUGCUUUUAUGUACUAUGAUAGAAGAUAUUCUAGAAAUGCUUUUAGAGGUCAUGAUGUGUUUGAUUCACAUGCUUAUGACUCUUAUGCUAUGACUGCUUCUAGUUCUCAUGUUAUGCAUGGUAGAAAUAUGUCUAGGAGAAAUGCUAUUCAUCAUGUGCCUAGAAAGAAUGUUAUUCAUGCUCCUAGGAAAGUAGUGAAUGAACCUUCUACAAUUUAUUGUGCUUUGAAUACUUCAUUUGCAAUUUGUAGAAAGGAUAGAAAAGUAAUUGCUAGGAAGUUAGGGGCAAAAUGCAAAGGUGAUAAAACUUGCAUUUGGGUCCCUAAGGAAAUUGUGACUAACCUUGUAGGACCCAACAAGAGUUGGGUACCUAAGUCCCAAGCCUAAAUUUGCCUUGCAGGUUUAUGCAUCCGGGGGAUCAAGCUGGAUUAUCGACAGCGGAUGCACAAACCAUAUGACGGGGGAGAAGAAGAUGUUCACUUCCUACGUCAAGAAUAAGGAUUCCCAGGAUUCAAUUAUAUUCGGUGAUGGGAAUCAAGGCAAGGUAAAAGGGUUAGGUAAAAUUGCAAUUUCUAAUGAGCAUUCUAUCUCUAAUGUAUUUUUAGUAGAGAGUCUUGGAUAUAAUUUGCUAUCUGUUAGUCAAUUAUGUCAUAUGGGGUAUAACUGUCUAUUUACAAAUAUAGAUGUGUCUGUCUUUAGAAGAAGUGAUGGUUCACUAGCUUUUAAGGGUGUAUUAGACGGCAAACUUUAUUUAGUUGAUUUUGCAAAAGAAGAGGCCGGUCUAGAUGCAUGCUUAAUAGCUAAGACUAGCAUGGGCUGGCUGUGGCAUCGCCGCUUAGCACAUGUGGGGAUGAAGAACCUUCAAAAGCUUCUAAAGGGAGAACACGUGAUAGGAUUGACUAACGUGCAUUUCGAAAAAGAUAGACCUUGUGCAGCUUGUCAAGCAGGUAAACAAGUGGGAGGAGCACAUCACAGCAAGAACGUGAUGACCACUUCAAGACCCCUGGAGCUGCUGCAUAUGGACCUCUUCGGACCUGUCGCCUAUCUGAGCAUAGGAGGGAGUAAGUAUGGUUUAGUUAUUGUUGAUGACUUUUCCCGCUUCACUUGGGUGUUCUUUUUGCAGGAUAAGUCUGAAACCCAAGGGACCCUCAAGCGCUUUCUCAGGAGAGCUCAAAAUGAGUUUGAGCUCAAGGUGAAGAAGAUAAGGAGCGACAACGGGUCCGAGUUCAAGAACCUUCAAGUGGAGGAGUUCCUUGAAGAUGAAGGGAUCAAGCACGAGUUCUCCGCUCCCUACACACCACAGCAAAAUGGUGUGGUAGAGAGGAAGAACAGGACGCUCAUCGACAUGGCGAGGACGAUGCUAGGAGAGUUCAAGACCCCCGAGUGCUUUUGGACGGAAGCUGUUAACACUGCUUGCCACGCCAUCAACAGGGUCUACCUUCAUCGCCUCCUCAAGAAGACGUCGUAUGAGCUACUAACCGGUAACAAACCCAAUGUAUCGUACUUUCGUGUAUUUGGGAGUAAAUGCUACAUUCUAGUGAAGAAGGGUAGAAAUUCUAAGUUUGCUCCCAAAGCUGUAGAAGGGUUUUUAUUAGGUUAUGACUCAAAUACAAAGGCGUAUAGAGUCUUCAACAAAUCAUCGGGUUUGGUUGAAGUCUCUAGCGACGUUGUAUUUGAUGAGACUAAUGGCUCUCCAAGAGAGCAAGUUGUUGAUUGUGAUGAUGUAGAUGAAGAAGAUGUUCCGACAGCCGCUAUACGAACCAUGGCGAUUGGAGAAGUGCGGCCACAGGAACAAGAUGAGCAAGAUCAACCUACUUCCUCAAUUAUGGUGCAUCCCCCGACUCAAGACGAUGAACAGGUUCAUCAAAAGGAGGCGUGUGAUCAAGGGGGAGCACAAGGUGAUCAAGUGAUGGAGGAAGAAGCGCUACCGGCACCUCCAACCCAAGUUCGAGCGAUGAUUCAAAGGGAUCAUCCCGUCGAUCAAAUUCUGGGUGACAUUAGCAAGGGAGUAACUACUCGAUCUCGAUUAGUUAAUUUUUGUGAACAUUACUCCUUUGUCUCUUCUAUUGAGCCUUUCAGGGUAGAAGAGGCCUUGCUAGAUCCGGACUGGGUGUUGGCCAUGCAAGAGGAGUUAAACAACUUCAAGCGCAAUGAAGUUUGGACACUGGUGCCUCGUCCGAAGCAAAAUGUUGUGGGAACCAAGUGGGUGUUCCGCAACAAACAGGACGAGCACGGGGUGGUGACGAGGAACAAGGCUCGACUUGUGGCAAAAGGUUAUGCCCAAGUCGCAGGUUUGGAUUUCGAGGAGACCUUUGCUCCUGUGGCUAGGCUAGAGUCAAUUCGAAUCUUGCUAGCAUAUGCCGCUCACCAUUCUUUCAGGUUGUACCAAAUGGAUGUGAAGAGCGCUUUCCUCAACGGGCCAAUCAAGGAGGAGGUGUACGUGGAGCAACCCCCUGGCUUCGAGGAUGAACGGUAUCCCGACCAUGUGUGUAAGCUCUCUAAGGCGCUCUAUGGACUUAAGCAAGCCCCAAGAGCAUGGUAUGAAUGCCUUAGAGACUUUUUACUUGCUAAUGCUUUCAUGGUUGGGAAGGCCGAUCCAACUCUUUUUACAAAGACAUGUGAUGGUGAUCUGUUUGUGUGCCAAAUUUAUGUCGAUGACAUAAUAUUUGGUUCUACUAACCAAAAGUCUUGUGAAGAGUUUAGCAGGGUGAUGACGCAGAAAUUCGAGAUGUCGAUGAUGGGCGAGUUGAACUACUUCCUUGGGUUCCAAGUGAAGCAACUCAAGGACGGCACCUUCAUCUCCCAAACGAAGUACACGCAAGAUCUGCUAAAGCGGUUUGGGAUGAAGGACGCCAAGCCCGCAAAGACUCCGAUGGGGACCGACGGACACACCGACCUCAACAAAGGAGGUAAGUCCGUUGAUCAAAAAGCAUACCGGUCAAUGAUAGGUUCUUUGCUUUACUUAUGUGCUAGUAGACCGGAUAUUAUGCUUAGCGUAUGCAUGUGUGCUAGAUUUCAAUCCGAUCCUAAGGAAUGUCACUUAGUGGCGGUGAAGCGAAUUCUUAGAUAUUUGGUUGCUACGCCUUGCUUCGGGCUCUGGUAUCCAAAGGGGUCUACCUUUGACUUAGUUGGAUACUCAGACUCCGACUAUGCUGGAUGUAAGGUCGAUAGGAAGAGUACAUCGGGGACGUGCCAAUUCUUAGGAAGGUCCCUGGUGUCAUGGAACUCUAAGAAACAAACAUCCGUUGCCCUAUCCACCGCUGAGGCCGAGUAUGUUGCCGCAGGACAGUGUUGCGCGCAACUACUUUGGAUGAGGCAAACCCUCCGGGACUUUGGCUACAAUCUGAGCAAAGUCCCACUCCUAUGUGAUAAUGAGAGUGCUAUCCGCAUGGCGGAAAAUCCUGUUGAACACAGCCGCACAAAGCACAUAGACAUCCGGCAUCACUUUUUGAGAGACCACCAGCAAAAGGGAGAUAUCGAAGUGUUUCAUGUUAGCACCGAGAACCAGCUAGCCGAUAUCUUCACUAAGCCUCUAGAUGAGAAGACCUUUUGCAGGUUGCGUAGUGAGCUAAAUGUCUUAGAUUCGCGGAACUUGGAUUGAAUUGUAGCAUACAUGUGUUUAUGCAUUUGAUCAGGUUCAUUCUGCAUUUUGUUGCUUAUUGUGGUGCUCAAGUUGUACCAACACUCCCUGGACCUCACAAGUCCGUUGCAAAGUGAUGCACAUGUUUAGGGGGAGAUGUGUUACAACUUGACCCUUUGAGACUAACCAUUUGCUUGAGUUUGCUUGAUUUAGUCUCGAAGGCGGAUUGAAAGGGAAAAGGUGGACUUGGACCAUGAAAGACUUCCACUGCACUCCGAUGAGAGGGUAACUAAUUCCAAGUUCAUCUCAUGAAAUCUUAUUGCCAUUUGCUCUUAAUUGAAGACUUUGGUGAGGCAAUGGGGUUAAAAAAAGCCAAGAUUAAUCCCGUUUUGGUGCUUGAUGCCAAAGGGGGAGAAAAUAAAGGCCAAAGUGAUAAAUGGAUCAGCUACCACUUGAGAGAUUUUGAAAAUAGUAGAAUAGAGUUUUUGUUUUGUCAAAAGCUUUUAUUGUCUCUUAUUGUCUCUAUUGUCAAAAGUUGACUUCUUGUGGGGAGAAGUGGUGAUUAUGGGAAAUAGGGGGAGUUUUUGAAAUCCUUGAUCAAUCUCUUUUGGUAUGACUCUCUUUAUGCUUCAACAUGUGUGUUUGACUUAGAGAUAGAGAUUUGAGUUUGAUUUGCAAAAACAAACCAAGUGGUGGCAAAGGAUGAUCCAUAUAUGCCAAAAUUGAAUCAAAACCAAUUUGAGUUUUUGUUUGAAGUGAUUUUGCACUUGUUCUAGUUGCUUUAUGUUGUGUUGGCAUAAAUCACCAAAAAGGGGGAGAUUGAAAGGGAAAUGUGCCCUUGGGCCAUUUCUAAGUAUUUUGGUGAUUAAGUGCAAACACAGGUGCCAAUAUGUGAAAAUAUGCCCAUGGAUGGACAAGUUGCAAAUCACAAGUAAAGGUAUGUUUCUAAGCCUUAGUGCAUUGGUUUUGUGUACUAAUAUAUUUGUCUAAGUGUUAGAAACAGAAAGAAGAAGAAGAAGAGAAGACUUGGCUGUGUGCAGCCAAGGGGCUGUUUCGGUCUGGGGCACCGGACUGUCCGGUGGUGCACCGGACAGUGUCCGGUGGUGCACCGGACAGUGUCCGGUGCGCCAGGCUGCCUCGGCCGAAGAGGCCGCUCUCGGGUUUUUCUCCGGCGACUUCGGCUAAAAUUCACCGGACUGUCCGGUGUGCACCGGACUGUCCGGUGAGCCAACGGUCGGCCGGGCCAACGGUCGGCCGCGCGAUCGGCGCGCGACACGUGGCCGAGCCAACGGUCGGAAGGAAGCACCGGACUGUCCGGUGUGCACCGGACAUGUCCGGUGCGCCAACUGUGCGCAGAUCUGACUCAGACAGCAACGGUCGAAUGCGCUGUUUAAGGAAACAAAUCGGGCACCGGACAGUGUCCGGUGUGCACCGGACUGUCCGGUGCGCCCGACGACAGAAGGCAAGGAUAGCCUUCCAGAUGUGUUCUCAACGGCUCCUAGCUGCCUUGGGGCUAUAAAAGGGACCCCUAGGCGCAUGGAGGAGCACACCAAGCAUUCCUACAACUCUUCUAAGCACCAAGACAUCAAUCUCACGCAUUCGUUUCAUUGUGAUAGCAUAUAGAGCUCUUGUGGAGUUGUGAACUCUUUGUGUUGCGUUGCGAGCUCUUGUUGCGACUUGUGUGCGUGUUGUUGCUCUGAUUUUUGAGUCUUGUGUGCGUUGCUCAUUCCCACCUUACUCCGUAUUUCUUUGUGAACUCAAUUGUAAGGGCGAGAGACUCCAAGUUGUGGAGAUUCCUCGCAAACGGGAAAAGAUCAAAGGAAAGAAAAACACCGUGGUAUUCAAGUUGAUCAUUGGAUCACUUGAGAGGAGUUGAGUGCAACUCUCGUCCGUUGGGACGCCACAACGUGGAGAUGGCAAGUUUUGUACUUGGCCGAACCACGGGAUAACCACCGUGUCAACUCUGUGAUUGCUUUCUUGUGGUUAUCGUGUUUUGAGUUCUCUCCAGCCACUUGGCCAUACUUGUGCUAACCCUUAACAAGUUUUUGUGGCCUAAGUUUUGAACUUUUACAGGAUCACCUAUUCACCCCCCCUCUAGGUGCUCUCAAUUGGUAUCGGAGCCGUUCUCUUCAAGAAAGGGACUAACCGCCCGAAGAGAUGGAUCCUAAGGGGAAGGGAAUUGUGAUCAACGACAAGGAGAAGGAGUCCUUCGUCAACGAGCCAAGGGAUGACAAGUCCAAUGACUCGGGCUCGGGCCACAAGCGAAGAGAUGGGAAGAAGAAGAAGACAAGACGCAUCAAGGAGAUCGUCUACUACGACAGCGAUGAGUCCUCUUCUUCCCAAAAGGACGACGACCACGACAAACAAAGGAAACCGGUUAAUUCGAACUUUUCAUUUGAUUAUUCUCGUAUUCCACAUAGUUCGAAUUCGCAUUUGCUUUCCAUUCCUCUUGGUAAACCUCCACAUUUUGAUGGGGAGGACUACGGGUUUUGGAGUCACAAAAUGCGUAGUCAUUUAUUCUCUCUCCAUCCAAGCAUAUGGGAGAUUGUAGAGAAUGGAAUGAAAUUUGAUAGCUCGGAUAGCCCUAUGUUUAUCAAUGAACAAAUUCAUAAAAAUGCACAAGCUACUACUGUUCUCUUAGCAUCUUUGUGCAGGGAAGAGUACAAUAAGGUGAGCGGCUUGGACAAUGCCAAGCAGAUAUGGGACACCCUCAAGAUCUCUCACGAGGGGAACGACAUCACCAUGCUCACCAAGAUGGAGUUGGUGGAGGGCGAGCUUGGACGAUUCGCCAUGAUAAGGGGAGAAGAGCCAACUCAAACUUACAACCGGCUCAAGACCCUUAUCAACAAGAUAAGGAGCUACGGAAGCACGCGUUGGACGGAUCACGACGUCGUCCGCCUAAUGCUCAGGUCAUUUACCGUUCUUGAUCCUCAUCUCGUGAACAAUAUUCGUGAGAAUCCCAGGUACACGAUGAUGACGCCCGAAGAAGUACUUGGAAAAUUCGUGAGCGGGCGGAUGAUGAUCAAGGAGGCAAGAUACGUCGACGACGCGUUGAAUGGUCCACUCCACGAGUCUCAACCCAUUGCUCUAAAGGCAACAAGGAGCAAGGAGUCGCUACCUAGCAAGGUGGCGCAAAUUGAGGCGGCCUGUCUUAAUGAAGAAGAAAUGGCCCUCAUUAUCAAGAGAUUCAAGACGGUGCUAAAGGGUCGCAAUGGACAGCCGAGCAAGACUAAGACCAAGGGGAAGCGAUCAUGCUUCAAAUGCGGUAAGCUUGGUCAUUUUAUUGCUAACUGUCCUGAUAAUGAAAGUGACCAGGAAAAGGGAAACAAGAGGGAAAAGAAGAAGCAUUAUAAGAAGGCAAAGGGCGAGGCGCAUCUAGGCAAGGAGUGGGACUCGGAUUGCUCCUCGUCCGACUCCGACAAUGAAGGACUCGCCGCCACCGCCUUCAACAAAUCAACCCUCUUCCCCAACGAGCGUCACACAUGCCUUAUGGCAAGGGAGAAGAAGGUAUGUACUCGCAACUCUACCUAUGCUUCUUCAAGUGAGGACGAAUCUAGUGAUGAGGAUGAAGUAGAUUAUUCAUGUUUGUUCAAGGGCUUAGAUAGAUCUAAGAUAGACAAAAUUAAUGAAUUAAUUGAUGCCUUGAAUGAAAAGAAUAUACUUUUAGAAAAGCAAGAGGAUUUGUUGUAUGAAGAGCAUGAUAAAUUUGUUAAUGCUUUCAAGGUUGGGAAAGCCGAUCCAACUCUUUUUACUAAGACAUGUGAUGGUGAUUUGUUUGUGUGCCAAAUUUAUGUUGAUGACAUAAUAUUUGGUUCUACUAACCAAAAGUCUUGUGAAGAGUUUAGCAGGGUGAUGACGCAGAAAUUCGAGAUGUCGAUGAUGGGCGAGUUGAACUACUUCCUUGGGUUCCAAGUGAAGCAACUCAAGGACGGCACCUUCAUCUCCCAAACGAAGUACACGCAAGAUCUGCUAAAGUGGUUUGGGAUGAAGGACGCCAAGCCCGCAAAGACUCCGAUGGGAACCGACGGACACACCGAUCUCAACAAAGGAGGUAAGUCCGUUGAUCAAAAAGCAUACCGGUCAAUGAUAGGGUCUUUACUUUAUUUAUGUGCUAGUAGACCGGAUAUCAUGCUUAGCGUAUGCAUGUGUGCUAGAUUUCAAUCCGAUCCUAAGGAGUGUCACUUAGUGGCGGUGAAGCGAAUUCUUAGAUAUUUGGUUGCUACGCCCUGCUUCGGGCUCUGGUAUCCAAAGGGGUCUACCUUUGACUUGGUUGGAUACUCAGAUUCCGACUAUGCUGGAUGUAAGGUCGAUAGGAAGAGUACAUCAGGGACGUGCCAAUUCUUAGGAAGGUCCCUGGUGUCGUGGAACUCUAAGAAACAAACCUCCGUUGCCCUAUCCACCGCUGAGGCCGAGUAUGUUGCCGCAGGACAGUGUUGCGCGCAGCUACUUUGGAUGAGGCAAACCCUCCAGGACUUUGGCUACAAUCUGAGCAAAGUCCCCCUCCUAUGUGACAAUGAGAGUGCUAUCCGCGUGGCGGAAAAUCCUGUUGAACACAGCCGCACAAAGCACAUAGACAUCCGGCAUCACUUUUUGAGAGACCACCAGCAAAAGGGAGAUAUCGAAGUGUUUCAUGUUAGCACCGAGAACCAGCUAGCCGAUAUCUUCACUAAGCCUCUAGAUGAGAAGACCUUUUGCAGGUUGCGUAGUGAGUUAAAUGUCUUAGAUUCGCGGAACCUGGAUUGAUUUAUAGCAUACAUGUGUUUAUGCCUUUAAUCAUGUUCAUUCUGCAUUGUGUUGCUUAUUAUGGUGCUCAAGUUGUACAAGCACUCCCCGGACCUCACAAGUCCUGGUGCCAGUAAUGCACAUAUUUAGGGGGAGAUGUGUUACAACUUGACCCUUUGAGACUAACCGUUUGUUUGAGUUUGAUUGUUUUAGUCUCAAAGAAGGUUUGAAAGGGAAAGGUGGACUUGGACCGUGAAAGACUUCCACUGCACUCCGAUGAGAGGGUAACUUAUUCCAAGUUCAUCUUUAAACUCUUAUUGCCUAUUUGCUCUUAAUUGAAGAUUUUGGUGAGGCAAUGGGGUCAAAGGGCCAAGAUUGAUCCCGUUUUGGUGCUUGAUGCCAAAGGGGGAGAAAAUAAAGGCCAAAGCAAUAAAUGGAUCAACUACCACUUGAGAAACUUUGAAAACAGUAGGAUAGAGCUUUUGGUUUGUCAAAACUCUUGCAUUGUCUCUUUUGUCAAAAGUUGGCCUCUUGUGGGGAGAAGUGUUGAUUAUGGGAAAAAGGGGGAGUUUUUGGAAUCUUGAAUCAAUUUUCUUUGGAAAACCUCUCUUUAUGUCUCUACAAGUGGAUUUGACUUAGAGAUAGGAUUUUGAGUUUGAUUUGCAAAAACAAACCAAGUGGUGGCAAAGGAUGAUCCAUAUAUGCCAAAUUGAAUCAAAAUAAAUUUGAGUUUUUAUUUGAAGUGAUAUUGCACUUGUUCUAGUUGCUUUAUGUUGUGUUGGCAUAAAUCACCAAAAAGGGGGAGAUUGAAAGGGAAAUGUGCCCUUGGGCCAUUUCUAAGUAUUUUGGUGAUUGAGUGCCAACACAAGUGCUUAAAUGUGAAUCUAUGCCCAUGGAUGAACAAAGUGCAAAUCAAGAGUAAAGGUAUGUUUCUAAGCCUUAGUACAUUGGUUUUGUGUACUAAUAUACUUGUCUAAGUGUUAGAAACAGAAAGAAGAAGAAAAGAAAAGAGGUGAAAAAGGCUUGGCUGUGUACAGCCAAGACUCAGCUCUGUCUGGCACACCGGACUGUCCGGUGGUGCACCGGACAGUGUCCGGUGCGCCAGGCUGGCUCGGGCGAAGUGGCCGCUCUCGGGAAUUCACCGGCGACAUACGGCUAAAAUUCACCGGACUGUCCGGUGAGCCAACGGUCGGCCGGGCCAACGGUCGGGCGCGCAAUCUGCGCGAGACACGUGGCUGAGCCAACGGCUAGAAGAUGGCACCGGACUGUCCGGUGUGCACCGGACAUGUCCAGUGCACCAACGGCUCCCAAAUCCGCAACGGUCGACUUCGCUAUUUAAGGAAGGAAAUCGGGCACCGGACUGUCCGGUGUGCACCGGACUGUCCGGUGCCCCCGAUGACAGAAGGCAAGAAUGGCUUUCCAGAUUUUCUCUCAACGGCUCCUAGCUGCCUUGGGGCUAUAAAAGGGACCCCUAGGCGCAUGGAGGAGGAGACCAAGCAACCUUAGAGCAUUCUUGAUCAUCCACACUUAGUCUUUGCGCAUUCGUUUGUCAUUCUCAGUGAUUCGAGCUCCGUUCUAGUGAGAACUUUGAGAUAGUCUUUUGAGCUCGAUUCUUGGCCGUGUGUGUGCGCAUUUUGCUGUGGAUUUGUGUGUGUUGCUUCCCUCCCUUACUCCGUGCUUCUUUGUGAACUUUAAGUGUAAGGGCGAGAGACGCCAAUUUGUGGAGAUUCCUCGCAAGUGGGAUAAAGAUAAGCAAAGCAAAACACCAUGGUAUUCAAGUGGGUCUUUGGACCGCUUGAGAGGGGUUGAUUGCAACCCUCGUCCGUUGGGACGCCACAACGUGGAGUAGGCAAGCGUUGGUCUUGGCCGAACCACGGGAUAACCACCGUGUCAUCUCUGUGAUUGAUCUUUGUUGGUUAUUGUAUUUUGUUGAGGAUUCCUAUCUAGCCACUUGGCAAUUAUUGUGCUAACGAUUCACCAAGUUUUGUGGCUUAAGUUUUCAAGUUUCACAGGAUCACCUAUUCACCCCCCUCAAGGUGCUCUCAGGUGCGCCAUGCGACAGCACACUUCCAACAACCAUAUUGUCGGCGUUUCGAGACCGGGGGGUCCCUGGGCCGACGAGUGAAGAUGUCGCCGCGUGCCCCAGCCCAGAUGGGUCGGCGCGAGACGGAGCGCGAAGGGGGGAAAAAGGCAGCCAGAGCGAGAGAGAGAGAGGUGGUAAUCCCGCGACCUUCGUGUUUGUCCCGCGCCCGGGUUGGGUGCGCUUGUAGUAGGGGGUUACAAGCGUCCACGCGGGAGGGGAGCGAGCAGCCUCACGCGAGCGCCUGUCCCGUCCUCUUCUCCGCGCGGCCAACCCUCUGUAAGAGGGCUCUGGUCCUUCCUUUUAUAGGCGUAAGGAGAGGAUCCAGGUGUACAAUGGGGGGGUGUAGCAGAGUGCUAACGUGUCUAGCGAAGGAGAGCUAGCGCCCUAAGUACAUGCCAUCGUGGCAGCCAGAGAGGUUUUGGCACCCGGUUCGUGUGGUGUUGUGGCCGUCGGAGGAGCGCUGGAGCCUGGUGGAAGGAUAGCUGUCGGGGCUGUCGAGUCCUUGUUGACGUCCUCUUGCUUCCGUAAGGGGGCUAGGAGCCGCUGACGUCAUAGAGCGUGCGGGGCGCCAUCAUUACUUGUCUGGCGGAGCAAGCCAGAUGGGACGCCGGUCUUGUUCCCCAUAGCCUGAGUCAGCUUGGGGUAGGGUAAUGAUGGCGCCUCCUAUUGACGUGGUCGGUCCGUGCCUUAGGUUGGGCGAUGUGGAGGCUUCUCCGAGAUCGAGUUCGAGUCUGUCUUCCGAGGCCGAGGUCGAGUCCGAGCCCCUGGGUCGGGCGAGGCGGAGACCGUCGGCGGAGGCCAGGGCUGAGUCCGAGCCCUGGGGUCGGGCGAAGUGGAGUUCGUCGUCUUCCGGGGCUGAGCCCGAGCGGAGCGGAGUUCGUCGUCUUUCGAGGCUGAGCCCGAGUCCAAGCCCUGGGUCGGGCGGAGCGGAGUUCGCCGUCUUCCGAGGCUGAGCCCGAGUCCGAGCCCUGGGUCGGGCGGAGCGGAGUUCGUCGUCUUCCGGGGCUGAGCCCGAGUCUGAGCCCUGGGUCGGGCGGAGCGGAGUUCGCCGUCUUCCGGUGUUGAGCCCGAGUCCGAGCCCUGGGUCGGGCGAAGUGGAGUUUCCUAUGGUGCCUGAGGCCGGGCCUGACUGCCGGUCAGCCUCACUCUGUCGAGUGGCACAGCAGUCGGAGCGGCGUAGGCGGCGCUGUCCUUCUGUCAGGCCGGUCAGUGGAGCGGCGAAGUGACUGCGGUCACUUCGGCUCUGUCGACUGGAGGGCGUGCGUCAGGAUAAAGGUGUCAGGCCACCUUUGCAUUAAAUGCCCCUGCGAUUUGGUCGGCUAGCGUGGCGAUUUGGCCAGAGUUGCUUCUUGGCGAAGACUGGGCCUCGGGCGAGCCGGAAGUAUGUUCGUCGCUGGAGGGGGGCCUCGGGCGAGACGGAGAUCCUCCGGGGUCGGCUGCCCUUGCCCGAGGCUAGGCUCGGGCGAGAAGUGAUCGAGUCCCUCGAAUGGACCAAUCCCUGACUUAGUCGCACCCAUCAGGCCUUUGCAGCUUUGUGUUGAUGGGGGUUACCAGCUGAGAAUUAGGAGUCUUGAGGGUACCCCUAAUUAUGGUCCCCGACAGUAGCCCCCGAGCCUCGAAGGGAGUGUUAACACUCGCUUGGAGGCUUUUGUCGCACUUUUUGCAAGGGGACCAGCCUUUCUCGGUUGCGUUUUGUUCCGGUGGGUGCGCGCGAGCGCACCCGCCGGGUGUAGCCCCCGAGGCCUCGGAGGAGUAGUUUGACUCCUCCGAGGUCUUAAUGCCUCGUGCAAUGCUUCGGCUGGUCUGGUCGUUCCCUCAUGCGAGCUGGCCGUAGCCCGGGUGCACGGUCGGGUCCCAAGUUCUCGGGCUGGUAUGUUGACGCUGUCAACGGUUUGGCCGGAGCCGGGUUUGCGAGAGCAGCCCCCGAGCCUCCGCACAGGGCGAGAGGACGGUCAAGGACAGACUCGACUUUUUAACAUACGCCCCUGCGUCGCCUUUCCGCAAGGAUGGGGGGGAAGCGCCAUGUUGCCCUCGGAGGGCGCCGAACAUGGUGUCUCCGGUGAGCUGCUGGCGGGUAAUCCGAGUGGACGCCCGUGCCCCAUUUGUUAGGGGUCGGCUAGAGGCCCGGAGGCGCGCUCAAAAGUACCUGCGGGUGAUCUGCCGGACCCGGUCCCCUGUCGACGGGGUCCGAGGGCUCGAUGCCUCCCUCUGAUGGGAUUCCGUUACAAGAUCGUUCCCGCUGGUCUCGGAAAUGUCCUAGGGUACCUCGGGAGCGUAGCUCGAGCCUUGGUUAUGUAUCGAACGUAUCCAUGGUCAUCCCUCGCUCUGUGUCUGAGGCGGCUGUGAACCCUUCGAGGGCCAGCCUACGAACCCCUGAUCAGUAGUGGGCGCGGAGCCCGAGUAGCCUGAGGCGGCCGUUGAACCCUUUCGAGGGGCCGGCCUUCGAACCUCUGACCAGUAGUGGGCGCAGAACCCACGCGCUUUGAGGCGGCUGUUGAACCCCUCCGAGGGGCCAGCCUUUGAACCUCUGAUCAGUAGGGAGGCUCGGAGCCUGUUUCCUUCAAGGAGAAGGAUCCUUUUCGGGGUAUCCCCCUUUCCCGGUCCCUGUUGUAAGAGAGAGAAAGAGGAAAAAGGAAAAGGAUACGAAAUCGAAUGACGUGGCGUACCUCUUUUGACGCGGUCAUUAUGGCGAAGCGUCGCUCGCUUCCCCUGCCAGAGGCGCCGCCUUUCCCGCCGCGGAGUUAAUGCGACGGGGCGAGCGGUUCGCGGGGCGGCCGUUGCGCGUGCGCGAGCCGUUCGAGGAACGGAACACGGGCGCGCCGUCUUCACGUCAUGAGAGAGGGUUCUUUCACUUCCCUAGGAUGGGACGUAAGCUUGGCUGACGACGCGACCGCUGCUCCCGCCUGCCUGCCACCGCCAUUACUGCCGGCCCAUUUAUGGUCGUAUUGACCGUCGCGCCUGGCUGGCACUACUGGGUCGUACGCAGGGUUGCCUCGAGUCGCGGUAUUGGUUCCGCAGUCGAGGAGGCGUGGCAGUGGUGCGAGUGGCGGUGCAGUUGCUUUUCACGAAAGGUGAUGAGUGAGGUAUCCGUAUCCCGGAGGCAUAGGAAUCCCUCGGCUCGGUCGCCCUUGCUGUCCGAGGCUUCUCUUGCUUAGUUAAAGGAACCCCUCUGCCGCUCUUCGAUGAGCCGAAGCCAGGAGUAGCGGUGUCAGCACGGAUAGAGGCAGAGUUGGCUCGAAAAGAAGACUUGGUCGGCCGGAGCCUGGCCGGGUCGUCCGUUAGCGGGACCGACGCUGGAGUUGAUCUGCCGAGGCCUCGGGCCGGGCUGAUGUCUUCGAGGGACAGCUGACCGAGGCCUCGGGGUGACCAGCCGAGCCGCCUGUUCGAGCCGGAUCCUUGGAGGAGACCCUGGCGGCGAUGGCCCGGGCGUGAUGAUGAAGUCGUCCUUCAGGGUGGAGAUCCUCGGACCGCGUCGCCGUCCGAGGCUAGGUUGGACCUCGCCGAAGGUGUAGUCGACGCCGAGGGUGCUGCUGCUCCCUUCAACUAUCGAGAUCCGAGCCUGCAGGAUCGGAUUAUCUUGUAGCGUGUGUUUUCUGCGGCCGCCGAGGCCCAAACACACCAUCGUCGUGUUGUAAAGGUGCGCUUCUUUUCCUCUUGUUUCGAGUAUUUGGACUUUUUCGUCGGUAACAGAAUUGUCUGUGCGAGCGAGAGUUGCUUUUCACGGAAGGUGAUGAGUGAGGUAUCCGUAUCCCGGAGGCGUAGGAAUCCCUUGGCUCGGUCGGCCUUGCCGCUUACGCGCACUCUUGCCCAUCCAUAGGGUUCUGUCACCGACACAGUCGAGAAGGCCCGAAGAAUCACUUCGGCAGGGGAGCUUUCGAGCGUGAAGACUUGUUUGGUCCGCGGAAUCACUUAUCCGAACGCGAGUUACUUAUCGCAGAAGGUGAUGAGUGAGGUAUCCGUAUCCCGGAGGCGUAGGAGUCCCUCGGCUCAGUCAGCCUUGGCUGCUUACGUGUACUCCAUCGUUUUCAGGAUCCACUUUCGAAGUAGUCGAAAAGCACCAAAGACAUUCUGGCAGAAAGGGUCUUUUUUCGAGGAAAAUUUCAACGUAGAGGGGGUUCCCCCCUUUUAGCCCCCGAGGGAGGGUCGGGCUUUGCCGAGGCAAGGCUGACCCUUCCUUGAUGACUAAACUUUGCGUGGGAGCGAGGUAUAUGAACAACUUGAAAGCAUCUUAAGGGUAGAAGCGACGUAGUUGUUGGAUGUUCCAAGCGUUGCCGUAGACCUCGCCUUGACUGUUGGCCAGCUUGUACGUUUCGGGCUUCAGAACUUUGGCGAUGACGAACGGCCCUUCCCAGGGAGGCGUGAGCUUGUGCCGCCCUCGGGCGUCCUAUCGCAGCUGAAGCACCAGGUCGCCCACCUGGAGGUCUCGGGACCGGACCCCUCGGGCGUGGUAGCGUCGCAGGGACUGCUGGUACCGCGCCGAGUGUAGUAAGGCCAUGUCCCGAGCCUCUUCCAGUUGGUCCAGCGAGUCUUCUCGACUAGCUUGGUUGCUUUGGUCGGCGUAGGCCCUCGUCCUCGGGGAACCGUAUUCUAAGUCUGUGGGCAAGAUGGCCUCGGCCCCAUAGACUAGAAAGAACGGCGUGAAGCCCGUGGCUCGGCUCGGCGUUGUCCUUAGACUCCAGACCACCGAGGGGAGUUCCUUCAUCCAUCGCUUGCCGAACUUGUUGAGGUCGUUGUAGAUCCGAGACUUGAGUCCUUGUAGAAUCAUGCAGUUGGCACGCUCUACUUGCCCAUUCGUCAUGGGGUGAGCCACGGCGGCCCAGUCCACCCGGAUGUGGUGAUCCUCGCAGAAGUCCAGGAACUUUCUGCCGGUGAACUGGGUGCCGUUGUCGGUGAUGAUGGAGUUCGGGACUCCAAAGCGAUGGAUGAUGUUGGUGAAGAACGCCACCGCCUGUUCGGACCUGGUGCUGUUUAGGGGUCGGACCUCGAUCCACUUGGAGAAUUUGUCGAUGGCGACCAACAGGUGCGUGUAGACCCCAGGUGCCUUCUGCAAGGGGCCGACGAGGUCCAGACCCCACACAGCAAAAGGCCAGGUGAUGGGUAUCGUCUGUAGAGCCUGAGCAGGCAGGUGGGUCUGCCUCGCGUAGAACUGACACCCUUCGCAGGUGCGGACAAUUCUACAGGAGUGUAUCUCUUGUAGGAGCUCCUGGCCUUCGGCGAUGGAAAUGCAUCGCUGGAGGAUGCCUGAGGGGCUGCGGGGUAGAGCUCUUUCCCGUCCCCCACCAAGACAAACGACUUGGCGCGCCGCACCAACCGCCGAGCUUCGGCUCGGUCGAGGGGUAGCUCUCCUCGGUGGAGAUAUUGCAGGUACGGGGUCUGCCAGUUUCGAUUAGGCGUGACCCCGCUUCGCUCCUCCUCGACGCACAGUGCCUCACCCUCAGGGGCCGAGGGUACCUCGGGCUGAACCGAGGGUGCCUCGGGUUGAGCCGACGGUGCCUCGGACUGAGCCGAGGGUACCUCGGGCUGGGCCGAGGGUGCCUCGGGCUCAGACGCGUCGUCGAUCUUGACGGAGGGUUGAUGCAGGUCUCGGGAGAAGACGUCCGGGGGAACCGUUGUUCGCCCCGAGGCUAUUUUAGCCAGCUCGUCCGCAGUCUCGUUGUAGCGUCGGGCGAUGUGGUUGAGCUCAAGCCCGUAGAACUUGUCUUCCAGGCGCCGAACCUCAUCGCAGUAGGCUUCCAUCUUCGGGUCGCGGUAGUGGGAGUUCUUCAUGACUUGGUCGAUGACGAGUUGCGAGUCACCGCGAGCGUCGAGGCGUCGGACCCCUAGCUCGAUGGCGAUGCGCAACCCGUUGACCAGAGCCUCGUACUCAGCCACAUUGUUGGACGCUGGGAAGUGGAGGCGUAGCACGUAGCGUAGGUGCUUCUCGAGGGGCGAGAUGAAGAGUAGGCCUGCGCCGGCUCCUGUCUUCAUCAGCGACCCGUCGAAGAACAUGGUCCAGAGUUUCGGUUGAAUCGGAACUGUUGGGAGCUGGGUGUCGACCCACUCAGCCACGAAGUCCGCCAAGACCUGGGACUUGAUGGCCUUCCGAGGGGCGAACGAGAUCGUUUCGCCCAUAAUUUCCACCGCCCACUUUGCGAUUCUACCCGAGGCCUCUCGGCACUGGAUGAUCUCCCCCAGGGGGAAGGAUGACACCACAGUUACCGGAUGAGACUCGAAGUAGUGUCGCAACUUCCGCCGCGUCAGGAUCACUGCGUACAGCAGCUUCUGAACUUGUGGGUAGCGGAUCUUGGUCUCGGGCAGUACCUCGCUGAUGAAGUAGACUGGCCUCUGGACGGGCAAUGCAUGCCCUUCUUCUCGUCUCUCAACCAUGAUCGCGGCGCUAACCACCUGAGUGGUCGCGGCGACGUAGAUCAAGAGGGCUUCUCCGGCAGCGGGGGGCACCAAGAUGGGCGCAUUCGUGAGGAGCGCCUUCAGGUUCUCGAGGGCUUCCUCGGCCUCAGGGGUCCAAGUGAAGCACUCGGCCUUCCUUAAGAGGCGGUACAGAGGCAGGCCUCUUUCGCCGAGGCGUGAGAUGAAGCGGCUCAGAGCCGCAAGACAUCCCGUGACUCUCUAUACGCCCUUCAAGUCCUUGAUGGGCCCCAUGCUGGUGAUGGCCGCGAUCUUCUCCGGGUUGGCUUCGAUGCCCCGCUCAGAGACGAUGAACCCCAAGAGCAUGCCUCGGGGAACCCCAAAGACACACUUCUCGGGAUUAAGCUUCACGCCUUUCGCCUUGAGACAUCGGAAUGUCACUUCAAGGUCAAAAAGGAGGUCGGAGGCUUUCCUCGUCUUGACUACGAUGUCAUCGACGUAGGCCUCGACCGUCCGGCCAAUGUGUUCGCCGAACACAUGGUUCAUGCACCGCUGGUACGUCGCGCCCGCAUUCCUCAAGCCGAACGACAUGGUGACAUAGCAGUACAUGCCGAAGGGUGUGAUGAAAGAAGUCGCGAGCUGGUCGGACUCCUUCAUCCUGAUUUGGUGAUACCCUGAGUAGACAUCGAGGAAAGACAGGGUUUCGCACCCAGCAGUGGAAUCCACGAUUUGAUCGAUGCGAGGCAGAGGGUAGGGAACCUUCGGACAUGCUUUGUUUAGACCAGUGUAGUCUACACACAUCCGCCAUUUCCCUCCUUUCUUUCUCACAAGCACAGGGUUGGCAAGCCAUUCGGGAUGGAAUACCUCUUUGAUGAACCCUGCCGCCAUCAGCUUGUGGAUCUCCUCGCCUAUGGCUCUGCGCUUUUCUUCGUCGAAUCGACGCAGAGGCUGCUUCACAGGUCGGGCUCCAGCUCGGAUAUCCAGCGAGUGCUCGGCGACAUCCCUCGGUAUGCCGGGCAUGUCCGAGGGACUCCACGCGAAAACGUCGGCGUUUGCGCGGAGAAAGUCGACGAGCACUGCUUCCUAUUUGGGAUCAAGCUCGGAGCCGAUCCGGAUCUGCUUGGAGGCGUCGCUGCUGGGGUCGAGGGGGACGGACUUAACCAUCUCCGCUGGCUCGAAGUUGCCGGCGUGGCGCUUCACGUCUAGCACCUCCUUAGAGAGGCUCUCCAGGUCGGCGAUGAGGGCCUCGGAUUCGGCGAGGGCCUCGGCGUACUCCACGCACUCCACGUCGCAUUCGAACACGUGUUUGUACGUGGGGCCAACGGUGAUGACCCCGUUGGGGCCCAGCAUCUUGUGCUUAAGGUAGGUGUAGUUGGGGACGACCAUGAACUUCGCGUAGCAUGGCCUCCCUAGUACUGCGUGGUAGGUUCCUCGGAACCCGACCACCUCGAACGUGAGGGUCUCCCUUCGGAAGUUGGAGGGUGUUCCGAAGCAGACAGGAAGGUCGAGUUGUCCGAGGGGCUGGACGCGCUUCCCGGGGAUGAUCACGUGGAAAGGCGUAGCGCCUGCCCGGACCGAGGAUAGAUCAACACGCAGGAGCCCGAGGGUCUCGGCGUAGAUGAUGUUGAGGCUGCUGCCUCCGUCCAUGAGGACCUUGGUGAGCCUGACGUUGCCGAUGAUGGGGUCGGCAACGAGCGGGUAUUUCCCCAGGCUUGGCACGUGGUCGGGGUGGUCGGCUUGGUCGAAGGUGAUGGGCUUGUCGGACCAGUCUAGGUAGACUGGCGCCGCCACCUUCACCGAACAGACCUCCCGACGCUCUUGCUUGCGGUGCCGAGCCGAGGCGUUUGCCGCUUGCCCACCGUAGAUCAUGAAGCAGUCGCGGACCUCGGGGAACUCUCCUGCCUGGUGAUCCUCCUUCUUGUCAUCGUCGUGAGCCCUGCCACCCUCCACGGGUGGCCCGACCCUGUGGAAGUGGCGCCGAAGCAUGGCGCACUCCUCAAGGGUAUGCUUGACGGGCCCCUGAUGAUAGGGGCACGGCUCCUUGAGCAUCUUGUCGAAGAGGUUGGCACCUCCGGGGGGUUUGAAAGGGAAAUGUGCCCUUGGGCCAUUUCUAAGUAUUUUGGUGAUUGAGUGUCAACACAAGUGCUUGAAUGUGAAUCAAUGCCCAUGGAUGAACAAAGUGCAAAUCUAGAGCAAAGGUAUGUUUCUAAGUCUUAGUACAUUGGUUUUGUGUACUAAUAUACUUGUCUAAGUAUUAGAAACAGGAAGAAGAAGAAAAGAAGAGAGUUGGCUGUGUACAGCCAAGAGGCUGUUUCGGUUUGGGGCACCGGACUGUCCGGUGGUGCACCGGACAGUGUCCGGUGCGCCAGGCUGCCUCGGCCGAAGAGGUCGCUCUCGGGAAUUUGCUAACGGCGUACGGCUAAAAUUCACCGGACUGUCCGGUGUGCACCGGACUGUCCGGUGAGCACCGGACUGUCCAGUGAGCCAACGGUCGGCCGGGCCAACGGUCGGCCGCGCGAUCUGCGCGGGACACGUGGCCGAGCCAACGGUCGGAAGGGGGCACCGGACUGUCCGGUGUGCACCGGACAUGUCCGGUGCGCCAACGGCUCCCGCAUCUGCAACGGUCGACUGCGUUGUUUAAGGAAGGAAAUCGGGCACCGGACAGUGUCCGGUGUGCACCGGACUGUCCGGUGCGCCCGACGACAGAAGGCAAAGAUGGCCUUCCAGAUUUGUUCUCAACGGCUCCUAGCUGCCUUGGGGCUAUAAAAGGGACCCCUAGGCGCAUGGAGGAGAAAACCAAGCAACCUAAGAGCAUUCUUGAUCAUCCACUCUCAUUCUUUGCGCAUUCGUUUGUCAUUCUAAGUGAUUCGAGCUCCGUUCUAGUGAGAACUUUGAGAUAGUCUUUUGAGCUCGAUUCUUGGCCGUGUGUGUGCGCAUUUUUGCUGUGGAUUUGUGUGUGUUGCUUCCCUCCCUUACUCCGUAUUUCUUUGUGAAUCUCAAGUGUAAGGGCGAGAGACUCCAAGUUGUGGAGAUUCCUCGCAAACGGGAAAUUGAAAGGAAAAGCAUAACACUGUGGUAUUCAAGUUGAUCAUUGGAUCACUUGAGAGGAGUUGAGUGCAACUCUCGUCCGUUGGGACGCCACAACGUGGAGUAGGCAAGUUUUGUACUUGGCCGAACCACGGGAUAAAUCACUGUGUCUUCUCUGUGUUGAAUUCUUUGUGAUUGUCAUAUUGUGCAAGAUCUCCUCUUUAGCCACUUGGCAAUUAUUGUGCUAACCCUUAACAAGCUUUUGUGGCUAUAAGUUUAAGUUUUACAGGAUCACCUAUUCACCCCCCCCUCUAGGUGCUCUCAAUUGGUAUCAAAGCCGUUCUCUUCAAGGAAGGGACUAACCGCCCGAAGAGAUGGAUCCUAAGGGGAAGGGAAUCGUGAUCAACAACAAGGAAAAGGAGUUCUUCGUCAACGAGCCAAAAGAUGACAAAUCCAACGACUCUGGCUCAGGCCACAGACGUAAAGAUGGGAAGAAGAAGAAGACACGACGUAUCAAGGAGAUCGUCUACUACGACAGCGACGAGUCUACUUCUUCCCACAAGGACGACGACUACGACAAACAAAAGACGGUUAACUCAAACUUUUCUUUUGAUUAUUCGCGCAUUCCGCACAGCUCAAAUGCUCAUUUGCUCCCCAUUCCACUUGGCAAGCCCCCUCACUUUGAUGGAGAGGACUACGGAUUUUGGAGUCACAAAAUGCGUACACACCUAUUUUCUCUCCAUCCAAGCAUUUGGGAGAUUGUGGAAAGUGGAAUGAAAUUUGAUAGCUCGGAUAGUCCUUCAUUUAUUAAUGAACAGAUCCAUAAAAAUGCACAAGCUACUACUGUGUUGCUAGCCUCUUUGUGCAGGGACGAGUAUCACAAGGUGAGCGGCUUGGACAAUGCCAAGCAGAUUUGGGACACCCUCAAGAUCUCUCAUGAGGGGAAUGAUGUCACCUUACUCACCAAGAUGGAGUUGGUGGAGGGCGAGCUCGGACGAUUCGCGAUGAUAAGGGGCGAGGAGCCGACGCAAACAUACAACCGGCUCAAGAUCCUUAUCAACAAAAUAAGGAGCUACGGAAGCACGCGAUGGACGGAUCACGACGUCGUCCGCCUAAUGCUAAGGUCAUUUACUGUUCUUGAUCCUCAUCUCGUGAACAAUAUUCGUGAGAAUCCCAGGUACACAAAGAUGACGCCCGAGGAGGUACUCGGGAAAUUCGUAAGCGGACGGAUGAUGAUCAAGGAGGCAAGAUACGUCGACGACGCCUUGAAUGGUCUGAUCAACGAGCCUCAACCCAUUGCUCUCAAGGCAACGAGGAGCAAGGAGGUGCUACCCAGCAAGGUGGCACAAAUUGAGGCUGUCGGUCUUAAUGAUGAAGAGAUGGCCCUCAUCAUUAAAAGAUUCAAGACGACGCUAAAAGGUCGAAAGGGUCAGCCAAGCAAGGCUAAGACCAAGGGAAAGCGAUCAUGCUUCAAAUGUGGUAAGCUUGGUCAUUUUAUUGCUAACUGUCCCGACAAUGAUAGUGAUCAGGAUCAAGGGAACAAGAGGGAAAAGAAGAAGAACUAUAAGAAGGCAAAGGGCGAGGCGCAUCUAGGCAAGGAGUGGGAUUCGGACUGCUCCUCUUCCGACUCCGACAAUGAAGGACUCGCCGCCACCGCCUUCAACAAGUCUUCCCUCUUCCCAAACGAGCGUCACACUUGCCUCAUGGCAAGAGAGAAGAAGGUAAUCACUCGUAAUGAUGUCACUUAUGAUUCUUCUAGUGACGAUGAGUCUAGUGAUGAUGAAAUAGAUUAUUCUAGUUUGUUCAAGGGACUGGAUAGAAAUAAAAUUGAUAAAAUCAAUGAAUUGAUUGAUGUCUUGAAUGAAAAGGAUAGGCUUUUAGAAAAGCAAGAGGAUUUGUUGUAUGAUGAGCAUGAUAAGUUUGUAGAGGCACAAAAAUCCUAUGCGUUAGAAGUUAAAAGAAAUGAAGUUCUUUCUAGUGAAUUAUCUUCUUGUCAUGAAAACAUUGCUACUUUAAAGAGUAUUAAUGAUGAUUUAAAUGCUAAGCUAGAAAAAUCUAGUAAAUCAACAUCUUGUGUAGAACAUGUUGUGAUUUGCACUAGGUGUAAAGAUUUUGACAUUGAUGCGUGUAGUGAACAUCUAGCUUCAAUUUCUAAAUUGAAUGAUGAAGUGUCUAGUCUUAAUGCCCAACUUAAGACUAGCAAAAGCGAAUUUGAUAAAUUGAAAUUUGCAAGGGAUGCCUAUACGAUUGGUAGACAUCCCUCAAUUAAGGACGGACUUGGCUACAAAAGGGAAGCCAAGAACUUAACAAGCCAUAAGGCUCCCAUUCCCGCUAAGGAGAAAGGGAAGGCCCCUAUGGCUACUAGUGCUAAAAAGAACCAUGCCUUUUUGUAUCAUGAUAGGAAAGAUUCUAGAAAUGCUUUUAGAAGUUAUGAUGCCUUUGAUUCACAUGCUUAUGAUUCUUAUGCUAUGACUGCCUCUAGUUCUCAUGUUGUGCAUAAUAGAAAGGUUUGUAGAAGAAAUGUUAUUCACAAUAUGCCUAGGAGAAAUGUUGCUCAUAGGAAAGUUCAUGGACCUUCUACAACUUAUCAUGCCCUAAAUGCUUCCUUUGCUAUUUGUAGAAAGGGUAGGAAAAUAGUUGCUAGGAAGUUAGGGGCAAAAUGCAAGGGAGACAAAACUUGCAUUUGGGUCCCUAAGGAAAUUUGCACUAACCUUGUAGGACCCAACAAGAGUUGGGUACCUAAGUCCCAAGCCUAAAUUUGCCUUGCAGGUUUAUGCAUCCGGGGGUUCAAGCUGGAUUAUCGACAGCGGAUGCACAAACCAUAUGACGGGGGAGAAGAAGAUGUUCACUUCCUACGUCAAGAAUAAGGAUUCCCAAGAUUCAAUUAUAUUCGGUGAUGGGAAUCAAGGCAAGGUAAAAGGGUUAGGUAAAAUUGCAAUUUCUAAUGAGCAUUCUAUCUCUAAUGUAUUUUUAGUAGAGAGUCUUGGAUAUAAUUUGCUAUCUGUUAGUCAAUUAUGUCAUAUGGGAUAUAACUGUCUAUUUACAAAUAUAGAUGUGUCUGUCUUUAGAAGAAGCGAUGGUUCAUUAGCUUUUAAGGGUGUAUUAGACGGCAAACUUUAUUUAGUUGAUUUUGCAAAAGAAGAGGCCGGUCUAGAUGCAUGCUUAAUAGCUAAGACUAGCAUGGGCUGGCUGUGGCAUCGCCGCUUAGCACAUGUGGGGAUGAAGAACCUUCACAAGCUUCUAAAGGGAGAACACGUGAUAGGGUUGACUAACGUACAAUUCGAAAAAGAUAGACCUUGUGCAGCUUGUCAAGCAGGUAAACAAGUGGGAGGAGCACAUCACAGCAAGAAUGUGAUGACCACUUCAAGACCCCUGGAGCUGCUGCAUAUGGACCUCUUCGGACCCGUCGCCUAUCUGAGCAUAGGAGGGAGUAAGUAUGGUUUAGUUAUUGUUGAUGACUUUUCCCGCUUCACUUGGGUGUUCUUUUUGCAGGAUAAGUCUGAAACCCAAGGGACCCUCAAGCGCUUCCUCAGGAGAGCUCAAAAUGAGUUUGAGCUCAAGGUGAAGAAGAUAAGAAGCGACAACGGGUCCGAGUUCAAGAACCUUCAAGUGGAGGAGUUCCUUGAGGAGGAAGGGAUCAAGCAUGAGUUCUCCGCUCCCUACACACCACAGCAAAAUGGUGUGGCAGAGAGGAAGAACAUGACGCUAAUCGACAUGGCGAGGACUAUGCUUGGAGAAUUCAAGACCCCCGAGCGUUUUUGGUCGGAAGCCGUGAACACGGCUUGCCACGCCAUCAACAGGGUCUACCUUCACCGCCUCCUCAAGAAGACGUCAUAUGAGCUUCUAACCGGUAACAAACCCAAUGUAUCGUACUUUCGUGUAUUUGGGAGCAAAUGCUACAUUCUAGUGAAGAAGGGUAGAAAUUCUAAAUUUGCUCCCAAAGCUGUAGAAGGGUUUUUGUUAGGUUAUGACUCAAAUACAAAGGCGUAUAGAGUCUUCAACAAAUCAUCGGGUUUGGUUGAAGUCUCUAGCGACGUUGUAUUUGAUGAGACUAAUGGCUCUCCAAGAGAGCAAGUUGUUGAUUGUGAUGAUGUAGAUUAAGAAGAUGUUCCAACGGCCGCUAUACGAACCAUGGCGAUUGGAGAAGUGCGGCCACAGGAACAACAAGAUCAACCCUCUUCCUCAACUAUGGUGCAUCCCCCAACUGAAGAUGACGUACAGGUACCUCAAGUGGAGGCGCUAGAACAAGGGGGAGCACAAGAUGAUCAAGUAAUGGAGGAAGAAGCGCAACCGGCACCUCCAACCCAAGUUAGGGCGAUGAUUCAAAGGGAUCAUCCCGUCGACCAAAUUCUGGGUGACAUUAGCAAGGGAGUAACUACUCGAUCUCGAUUAGUUAAUUUUUGUGAGCAUUACUCCUUUGUCUCUUCUAUUGAGCCUUUCAGGGUAGAGGAGGCCUUGCUAGAUCCGGACUGGGUGUUGGCCAUGCAGGAGGAGCUCAACAACUUCAAGCGCAAUGAAGUUUGGACACUGGUGCCUCGUCCGAAGCAAAAUGUUGUGGGAACCAAGUGGGUGUUCCGCAACAAACAGGACGAGCACGGGGUGGUGACGAGGAACAAGGCUCGACUUGUGGCAAAAGGUUAUGCCCAAGUCGUAGGUUUGGACUUUAAGGAGACGUUUGCUCCUGUGGCUAGGCUAGAAUCAAUUCGUAUCUUGCUAGCAUAUGCCGCUCACCAUUCUUUCAGGUUGUACCAAAUGGAUGUGAAGAGCGCUUUCCUCAACGGGCCAAUCAAGGAGGAGGUGUACGUGGAGCAACCCCUGGCUUCGAGGAUGAACGGUACCCCGACCACGUGUGUAAGCUCUCUAAGGCGCUCUAUGGACUUAAGCAAGCCCCAAGAGCAUGGUAUGAAUGCCUUAGAGACUUUUUAAUUGCUAAUGCUUUCAAGGUUGGGAAAGCCGAUCCAACUCUUUUUACUAAGACAUGUGAUGGUGAUUUAUUUGUGUGCCAAAUUUAUGUCGAUGACAUAAUAUUUGGUUCUACUAACCAAAAGUCUUGUGAAGAGUUUAGCAGGGUGAUGACGCAGAAAUUCGAGAUGUCGAUGAUGGGCGAGUUGAACUACUUCCUUGGGUUCCAAGUGAAGCAACUCAAGGACGGCACCUUCAUCUCCCAAACAAAGUACACGCAAGAUCUGCUAAAGCGGUUUGGGAUGAAGGAUGCCAAGCCCGCAAAGACUCCGAUGGGGACCGACGGACACACCGACCUCAACAAAGGAGGUAAGUCCGUUGAUCAAAAAGCAUACCGGUCAAUGAUAGGUUCUUUGCUUUACUUAUGUGCUAGUAGACCGGAUAUUAUGCUUAGCGUAUGCAUGUGUGCUAGAUUUCAAUCCGAUCCUAAGGAGUGUCACUUAGUGGCGGUGAAGCGAAUUCUUAGAUAUUUGGUUGCUACGCCUUGCUUCGGGCUCUGGUAUCCAAAGGGGUCUACCUUUGACUUAGUUGGAUACUCAGACUCCGACUAUGCUGGAUGUAAGGUCGAUAGGAAGAGUACAUCGGGGACGUGCCAAUUCUUAGGAAGGUCCCUGGUGUCAUGGAACUCUAAGAAACAAACCUCCGUUGCCCUAUCCACCGCUGAGGCCGAGUACGUUGCCGCAGGUCAGUGUUGCGCGCAACUACUUUGGAUGAGGCAAACCCUCCGGGACUUUGGCUACAAUCUGAGCAAAGUCCCACUCCUAUGUGACAAUGAGAGUGCUAUCCGCAUGACGGAGAAUCCUGUUGAGCACAGCCGCACAAAGCACAUAGACAUCCGGCAUCACUUUUUGAGAGACCACCAGCAAAAGGGAGAUAUCGAAGUGUUUCAUGUUAGCACCGAGAACCAGCUAGCCGAUAUCUUCACCAAGCCUCUAGAUGAGAAGACCUUUUGCAGGUUGCGUAGUGAGCUAAAUGUCUUAGAUUCGCGGAACCUGGAUUGAAUUGUAGCAUACAUGUACUUAUGCUUUUGAUCAUGUUCCUUUUUGCAUUUUGUUGCUUAUUAUGGUGCUCAAGUUGUACAAACACUCCCUGGACCUCACAAGCCCGUUGCAAAAUGAUGCACAUGUUUAGGGGGAGAUGUGUUACAACUUGACCCUUUGAGACUAACCAUGUGCUUGAGUUUGAUGAUUUAGUCUCGAAGGAGGAUUGAAAGGGAAAAAGUGGACUUGGACCAUGAAAGACUUCCACUGCACUCCGAUGAGAGGGUAACUUAUUCCAAGUUCAUCUUUAGACUCUUAUUGCCUUUGUAUUCUUAUUGAAGAUUUUGGUGAGGCAAUGGGGUUAAAAGGCCAAGAUUGAUCCUGUUUUGGUGCUUGAUGCCAAAGGGGGAGAAAAUAAAGGCCAAAGCGAUAAAUGGAUCAGCUACCACUUGAGAGAUUUUGAAAACAGUAGAAUAGCUUUUAUUGUCUCUUAUUGUCUCUCUUGUCAAAAGUUGGCUUCUUGUGGGGAGAAGUGUUGAUUAUGGGAAAUAGGGGGAGUUUUUGAAAUCUUUGAUCAAUCUCUUUUGGAAUGACUCUCUUUAUGCUUCAACAUGUGUGUUUGACUUAAAGAUAGAGAUUUGAGUUUGAUUUGCAAAAACAAACCAAGUGGUGGCAAAGGAUGAUCCAUAUAUGCCAAAAUUGAAUCAAAAUCAAUUUGAGUUUUAUUUGAAGUGAUUUUGCACUUGUUCUAGUUGCUUUAUGUUGUGAUUGGCAUAAAUCACCAAAAAGGGGGGGAUUGAAAGGGAAAUGUGCCCUUGGGCCAUUUCUAAGUAUUUUGGUGAUUGAGUGUCAACACAAGUGCUUGAAUGUGAAUCAAUGCCCAUGGAUGAACAAAGUGCAAAUCUAGAGCAAAGGUAUGUUUCUAAGUCUUAGUACAUUGGUUUUGUGUACUAAUAUACUUGUCUAAGUAUUAGAAACAGGAAGAAGAAGAAAAGAAGAGAGUUGGCUGUGUACAGCCAAGAGGCUGUUUCGGUUUGGGGCACCGGACUGUCCGGUGGUGCACCGGACAGUGUCCGGUGCGCCAGGCUGCCUCGGCCGAAGAGGUCGCUCUCGGGAAUUUGCUGACGGCGUACGGCUAAAAUUCACCGGACUGUCCGGUGUGCACCGGACUGUCCGGUGAGCCAACGGUCGGCCGGGCCAACGGUCGGCCGCGCGAUCUGCGCGGGACACGUGGCCGAGCCAACGGUUGGAAGGGGGCACCGGACUGUCCGGUGUGCACCGGACAUGUCCGGUGCGCCAAUGGCUCCCGCAUCUGCAACGGUCGACUGCGCUGUUUAAGGAAGGAAAUCGGGCACCGGACAGUGUCCGGUGUGCACCGGACUGUCCGGUGCGCCCGACGACAGAAGGCAAAGAUGGCCUUCCAGAUUUGUUCUCAACGGCUCCUAGCUGCCUUGGGGCUAUAAAAGGGACCCCUAGGCGCAUGGAGGAGAAAACCAAGCAACCUAAGAGCAUUCUUGAUCAUCCACACUCAUUCUUUGCGCAUUCGUUUGUCAUUCUAAGUGAUUCGAGCUCCGUUCUAGUGAGAACUUUGAGAUAGUCUUUUGAGCUCGAUUCUUGGCCGUGUGUGUGCGCAUUUUUGCUGUGGAUUUGUGUGUGUUGCUUCCCUCCCUUACUCCGUAUUUCUUUGUGAAUCUCAAGUGUAAGGGCGAGAGACUCCAAGUUGUGGAGAUUCCUCGCAAACGGGAAAUUGAAAGGAAAAGCAUAACACUGUGGUAUUCAAGUUGAUCAUUGGAUCACUUGAGAGGAGUUGAGUGCAACUCUCGUCCGUUGGGACGCCACAACGUGGAGUAGGCAAGUUUUGUACUUGGCCGAACCACGGGAUAAAUCACUGUGUCUUCUCUGUGUUGAAUUCUUUGUGAUUGUCAUAUUGUGCAAGAUCUCCUCUCUAGCCACUUGGCAAUUAUUGUGCUAACCCUUAACAAGCUUUUGUGGCUAUAAGUUUAAGUUUUACAGGAUCACCUAUUCACCCCCCCUCUAGGUGCUCUCAGGGUUUCCGAGGGUUCUUGUACUCGGCGGCGGCGACAAGGUCCGCGUCGGCGGCGUCGCGUUUCGCUUGCGACUUCUUCUUGCCUUUCUUCUUGGCGCCACGCUGAGUUGACGCCUCGGGGGCGUCUUCCGGUGGGCGGCCCUGGGGCUGCUUGUCCUUCCGGAAGAUAGCCUCAACCGCCUCCUGGCCAGAGGCGAACUUGGUGGCGAUGUCCAUCAGCUCGCUCGCCCUGGCGGGGGUUUUGCGACCCAGCUUGCUGACCAGGUCGCGGCAAGUGGUGCCAGCGAGGAACGUGUCGAUGACAUCUGAAUCGGUGAUGUUGGGCAGCUCGGUGCGCUGCUUCGAGAAUCGCCGGAUGUAGUCCCGGAGAGACUCUCCCGGCUGCUGUCGGCAGCUUCGGAGGUCCCAGGAGUUUCCGGGGCGCACGUACGUGCCCUAGAAAUUGCCGGCGAAGGCUUGGACCAGGUCGUCCCAGUUGGAGAUCUGCCCCGGAGGCAGGUGCUCCAACCAGGCGCGAGCGGUGUCGGAGAGGAACAAGGGGAGGUUGCGGAUGAUGAGGUUGUCAUCGUCCGUUCCACCCAGUUGACAGGCCAGCCGGUAGUCCGCGAGCCACAGUUCCGGUCUCGUCUCCCCCGAGUACUUUGUGAUAGUAGUCGGGGGUCGGAACCGGGUCGGGAACGACGCCCGUCGUAUGGCGCUGCUGAAAGCCUGCGGACCGGGUGGUUCGGGCGAGGGACUCCGAUCCUCCCCGCUGUCGUAGCGUCCCCCACGCCUGGGGUGAUAGCCUCGGCGCACCCUCUCGUCGAGGUGGGCCCGACGGUCGUGGUGAUGGUGCUCAUUGACGAGGCGACCCGGGGCCGCAGGCGCUGUGUCGCGCGUGCGCCCGGUGUGGACCGAGGCUUCCCGCAUGAAUCGGGAAGUCGCGGCGCGAUGUUCCGAGGGGUACCCCUGCCUUCAGGAGGCGGAGCUUUCGGCCCGUCGGACCGCGGCGCCCUCCAGGAGAUUCUUGAGCUCUCCCUGAAUCCGCCGCCCCUCGGUGGUUGAUGGCUCCGGCAUCGCGCGGAGAAGCAUUGCUGUUGUAGCCAGGUUCUGGCCGACUCCACUGGAAGCGUGUGGCGGCCUCACCCGGACAUCAUCGGCGAUGCGGUGCUGGAUACCCUAGGGUAGAUGGCGCACUUCUCCGGCCGGAGGUUGGCCCGCCCAUUCCUGCUCGAUGUCCCGGCGGAUCGGCUCAAGCGUUCCUGCUCCCUCGUCGAGCCUGGCCUGCACCCCACGGAUUUGCUCGAGCUGUGGGUCAGCUAGCUCCCGUUGGAUGUCAACGCGAGGCACAUGCCUAGGGAGAUCACCGUUCUCCGGCACACCAAGAUGGUUGCCUUCGGAGGGACCCCCUAGAUCGACGUGGAAACAUUCACGACUUGGGCCGCAGUCCUCGUCGCCGAGGCUGCGGCUACCGUCGGAACAGUCGGAAAGGCAGUAGUCGCAUGCGGUCAUGAAGUCCCGCAUGACACUGGGGUUACCAAGUCCGGAAAAAUCCCAACAGAAGUCGGGCACGUCAUCUUCCUCGGACCCCGAGGGCCCGUAGGUUGAGACGUCCGUCAGCCGGUCCCAGGGUGACCGCAUACGAAACCCCAGAGGGUUUGGACUCGCCUCUACGAGAGCGUCCGCCAAAGCGAAGUCGCUUGGCGGGUCAAGGCCGAAUCCAAAGGGCGUGAGAUGGGAAUCGGUGGGUACCUCUUGGUCGACGGGCGGUGACGAAGUCACGUCAGGGACUGACCGCACCGUCGUCUCAGGUACGAGGGUGACGCCCAGCAAGCCUUUCGCGAUCGUGCUGGCGUCGUCCGUUUGCUUGGGAUUGGCGUGUUGCGGGGAGACGGCGCUCGUCUUCAUCUCAAACGCGAGGUCGAUGCCCGACGUGCCCCCCGUUGGGGUGCCGGUGUCGUCGACUCGCUCGACAGCCGAUGAGGUGCCGCCUCCUGCUUGGCCUUGGUUGCCCCGCCUCCUCCUCCGUCGGUGGGGGAGAGGGCGGGGUGAGCUCGAACGUUGUUCUUCCACCACGCGGGGAGGACGUCGUCGAUUCCGCCGCCGGUAGGCGGGCUGUCGGCCGCCAUUGUCGCUGUCGCACGGCGGGGGAAGGAGUAUCAUGUCGUAGCUGCCGUCGAGGGACAUGAACUCAAGACUCCCGAAAUGGAGCACCGUCCCGGGCUGGAAAGGUUGCUGGAGACUGCCCAUCUGGAGCUUGAUGGGUAGCUGUUCGUCAACACACAGCAGGCCCCUACCUGGCGCGCCAACUGUCGGCGUUUCGAGACUGGGGGGGUCCCUGGGCCGACGAGUGAAGAUGUCGCCGCGUGCCCCAGCCCAGAUGGGUCAGCGCGAGACGGAGCGCGAAGGGGGGAAAAAGGCAGCCGGAGCGAGAGAGAGAGAGGUGGGAAUCCCGCAGCCUUCGUGUUUGUCCCGCGCCAGGGUCGGGUGCGCUUGCAGUAGGGGGUUACAAGCGUCCACGCGGGAGGGGAGCGAGCGACCUCACGCGAGCGCCUGUCCCGUCCUCUUCCCCGCGCGGCCAACCCUCUGUAAGAGGGCCCUGGUCCUUCCUUUUAUAGGCGUAAGGAGAGGAUCCAGGUGUACAAUGGGGGGGUGUAGCAGAGUGCUAAUGUGUCUAGCGGAGGAGAGCUAGCGCCCUAAGUACAUGCCAUCGUGGCAGCCGGAGAGGUUUUGGCACCCGGUUCGUGUGGUGUCGUGGUCGUCGGAGGAGCGCUGGAGCCUGGCGGAAAGACAGCUAUCGGGGCUGUCGAGUCCUUGCUGACGUCCUCUUGCUUCCGUAAGGGGGCUGAGAGCCGCCAUCGUCAUAGAGCGUGCAGGGCGCCAUCAUUACUUGUCUGGCGGAGCGAGCCAGAUGGGACGCCAGUCUUGUUCCCCAUAGCCUGAGUCAACUUGGGGUAGGGUAAUGAUGGCGCCUCCUGUUGACGUGGUCGGUCCGUGCCUUCGGUUGGGCGAUGUGGAGGCUUCUCCGAGGUCGAGGUCGAGUCUGUCUUCCGAGGCCGAGGUCGAGUCCGAGCCCCUGGGUCGGGCGAGGCGGAGAUCGUCGGCGGAGGCCAGGGCUAAGUCCGAGCCCUGGGGUCGAGCGAAGCGGAGUUCGUCGUCUUCCGGGGCUGAGCCCGAGUCCGAGCCCUGGGUCGGGCGGAGCGGAGUUCGCCGUCUUCCGGGGCUGAGCUCGAGUCCGAGCCCUGGGUCGGGCGGAGCGGAGUUCGCCGUCUUCCGCGGCUGAGCCCGAGUCCGAGCCCUGGGUCGGGCGGAGCGGAGUUCGUCGUCUUCUGGGGCUGAGCCCGAGUCCGAGCCCUGGGUCGGGCGAAGCGGAGUUUCCUAUGGUGCCUGAGGCCGGGCCUGACUGCCGGUCAGCCUCACUCUGUCGAGUGGCACAGCAGUCGGAGCGGCGUAGGCGGCGCUGUCCUUUUGUCAGGCCGGUCAGUGGAGCGGCGAAGUGACUGUGGUCACUUCGGCUCAGUCGACUGGAGGGCGUGCGUCAGGAUAAAGGUGUCAGGCCACCUUUGCAUUAAAUGCCCCUGCGAUUUGUUCGGUAGCGUGGCGAUUUGGCCAGGGUUGCUUCUUGGCGAAGACUGGGCCUCGGGCGAGCCGGAAGUAUGUUCGUCGCUGGAGGGGGGCCUCGGGCGAGACGGAGAUCCUCCGGGGUCGGCUGCCCUUGCCCGAGGCUAGGCUCGGGCGAGGCGUGAUCGAGUCCCUCGAAUGGACCGAUCCCUGACUUAGUCGCACCCAUCAGGCAUUUGCAGCUUUGUGCUGAUGGGGGUUACCGGCUGAGAAUUAGGAGUCUUGAGGGUACCCCUAAUUAUGGUCCCCGACACAUAUUUUGGUGGUUGGGGCUAUAAAUACCCUAACCACCCCACAUUCAAUGGCAUCCAAGUUUCUACACUUCUACACCUUACAAGAGCUAUAACAUUUAAUACAAGACACACCAAAGAGAUCAAAUCCUCUUCCAACUCCACACAAAAGCUUUAGUGAUUAGAGAGAGUGAUUUGUUGUGUUCAUUUGAGCUCUUGCGCUUGGAUUGCUUCUUUUCUUUCUCAUUCUUCUUGCGAUCAACUCAAUUGUAACCGAGGCAAGAGACACCAAUUGUGUGGUGGUCCUUGCGGGAACUUAGUGUCUCGUUUGAUUGAGAAGAGAAGCUCACUCGGUCCGAGGGACCGUUUGAGAGAGGGAAAGGGUUGAAAGAGACCCGGUCUUUGUGACCACCUCAACGGGGAGUAGGUUUGCAAGAACCGAACCUCAGUAAAAACAAAUCAUCGUGUCUCGCUCUUUAUUCGCUCACGAUUUGUUUUGCGCCCUCUCUCUCGGACUCAUUAUUAUUUCUAACGCUAACCCGGCUUGUAAGUUGUGCUUAAGUUUGUAAAUUUUAGAUUCGCCAUAUUCACCCCCUCUAGGCGACUUUCAACCUAGUUAAUGAUCCAUUGUUCCUGUAGAAUAGUCCCAAACACCCAUAAAGGAAAAAAAAUAAAAAAUAUGAAACCUGUAAAGGAUCCAUGGUUCCGUCGGGCCGUCUGGGCCAGAAAGAGGCCCAUGUGUUUUCCUCUAAUUUCGUGGUGAAAUAUUUCAAAAGUUUUGAAUUCAGGUCCUCCCAAAUACCAUCCCUAUCUCAAAAAAAGCAAUCGUAUCGUCUAUCGUAGCACGGUAAUCGGAAGCGUCCAAGACUAUCUUUUCAAAACAAAAACUAGAAAUCACGGGGAGCGUCCAACGCUACUUUUUUUUAAAAAAUCAAAAACUUAAAAGAAAUCACGGGUAGCGCCUCCGGUCUCCCACUCUCGCUGAAGUAGGGUCCCCCGUUUCAAAUUGACACCCCGUCCAACGCAAACGAGAGGGAAAGCCGAAGCGAGUGCGAGUGCGGCCCUCAGCUGCUGCAGUUGCUCCUGCUCGUUUCUGCCUGCUCGUUUCUGCGGCGGCGGCGGCGGCGGCGGCCUAGCACCUGAGCGGGGCGGCGAGAGGGGACGGAGAUGGAUAUCGCGCGGGCGGCUGCUGGCGUGGCCUGCUGCAAGGAGCACCAGAGGAUCUACGCCGAGUGGUUCGCCCUGGCCGACCCAGGUAAGGCGCUCCUGCCCCUCGCUCCCACGCCGCCCCACAAAAUCAGCGGAGGUUUGAGGCUUACUGCUCCGGCGGGGGGGCUUUGUUGUAGAUGGCGACGGCCGCGUCACGGGCGCCGAUGCCACCAGCUUCUUCGCCAUGUCCGCGCUUUCACGCGCCGAUCUCAAGCAGGUGAGCACGGGGCCGCUGGUCUCCUCCUGCUCCUCUUCUGACUUCUGGCCUGGGUGAUAUCAUCUAGGAUUAUCGUUGACGAAUGGGUAGUGACAUUUCCCUGUUUGGGGAUUUGCGUGCGAAGGUGUGGGCGAUCGCGGAUUCCAGGCGGCAGGGGUACCUCGGAUUCGCCGAGUUCGUCACAGCAAUGCAGGUUCGUUCCCUCGUGUGGAUUAGCCGUAGCGUGUGAAUCCGACGAUCAACCGUGAGGUUGCGCUGCUGGUUUGGUGAACUGACGUGACGGUCUAACACGAUCCAUAUGCAAACUGCAGCUCGUGUCUCUGGCCCAAGCAGGGAACGAGAUCACACAGGACAGUCUGAAACGUGAAGGUAGUCGGCUGUGAACUGAACUUUACCUUCCUUUUCCCCUUUUGUGAGUUCAUUUGGACGUGGAUGUUAAAUCUUUUGUUUAUGGUGGUUCGUGGAGACCUGAGCACCUUGGAUCCGCCUGUGAUGGAAGGUGUUGAUGAGCUACUGGCUGUAAGUCUGAAAUCUUCAGAUUCUGUGUCAUUCAAAAUGUAUUUACCCCUUUCAACACGAUACUAUGAUGGAUUGUUGUGAUGUAAUGAUGGAUUGUUUCUUUCCAGAGAUCCAAGGCUGUUGUGAAGAGAGUUCACCCAGAUGACAAUGGUAUCCGAUAUGUUUAACCCUAGUUAUACCCAUGUGGCUGAAUCGUCUUUGAUAUCACUUACCUAUAUGGCUAUGUCUGCUCUUCAGGCACCACUCAGGCCCAAGCACCUUCCAUAUAUCACUGGUUUGGUUCAAAAUCAGCACAGAAGGUAUUAGAUUAACUUGUUGGAUUUGGAAUAUCAUGCAAAAUCCUUGGCUGCUGCUUUCAAUAUGCUUUUCACUACGGCACAAUCCAUUUUUCAUGGUAUGUCGAGCAUUGUGGUUUAGCGUUUGAUUUAUUUUGCGUUUAAUCUGGCAUUCUGCAGGUGCAGAUGCCUCUGACUGCUGUUACCUCUGUAAUUGAUGGCUUGAAAAGACUCUAUGUUGAAAAACUGAAGCCUUUGGAAGUCGCCUACAGAUACAAUGAUUUUUCUCACCCAUUAUUGGUAAAUAAUUCCAUUCACAGUUUUGUCUUGUUUGAUGUAUCAGUGUUAUUGUUCUGAAGUUCUUUUGAUGUUCAUUGUGCUCUCACGUCAUUAUUUACAUGUCACUUCAUUGCUCCUACCAUUUUCUAGACAAACAGUGAUUUUGAAGCAAAGCCAAUGGUUAUGCUCUUGGGUCAGUAUUCAACAGGGAAAACAACAUUCAUUAAGCAUCUGCUAAAGACAAGCUACCCAGGUUUGAUGCUUCAUCUUAUAAAACAGAUUUGAGUAUCAGGCUUAUUGGCCAUUUUGUUUUCAAUUGCCUCUGAACGCAUUAAAAUUUGACUUUUUUGUCCGUUUGAAUUUCAGGAGCUCACGUCGGACCAGAGCCAACAACUGAUAGAUUCGUAGUUGUCAUGGUAACUGUUGGCGUGAAUAUUGUAUUUGAAAGAUCUGACUGAUGUCAAAUUGUCAAUACAAAAUGGAUAUGGGCAUGUGUACUGAGAACGUUUCCCUUAUAUUGGCUAAAGCAAUGUAGUUGGUCUUUGCUAUUAUGAUAUCAUUGCAACAACUACUAGUCAGUAUCAUGAACUGGUGAUUGCUGAAAAUAAAACUUUAAUAUUGAAAAUUUAGAAUAAUGGUUAUGCAUUUUUUACCCCUUUAAAGCUUCCUUCAAACCAUACCGCAUGCUCAUGGGAUGUUUCUUCAUUUAUUUUAGUGGUUCAAAACAAAACUUUACUGCUAUUCUUUUACAAAUCAUAUCGGUUUGCAUUAUCCACUGGCUCCCAGGCUGCCCUGUCAAUGUAUACAUUCUUUUUUUUAUUUGUCCCUCAAAUUAAUUUUGUUUUCAUUUCAGUCAGGAUCUGAUGGAAGGACCAUUCCUGGCAAUACUAUUGCCGUUCAAGCCGACAUGCCAUUCACUGGUCUUACAACCUUUGGGGGAGCGUUUCUGUCGAAGUUUGAAUGCUCUCAGAUGCCACAUCCCGUAAGAUUUAGUUUGAUACCGGUAACAUGUAGAAUGCAUUCAUUUAGAAACUGAAACCUCCUUUGUUUCUUGAAGCUGCUAGAGCAUAUCACCUUUGUGGACACUCCUGGUGUUCUCUCUGGGGAAAAGCAACGGACCCAACGUAGCUAUGAUUUCACUGGUGUGACCUCAUGGUUUGCUGCCAAGUGUGACCUUAUCCUUCUUCUGUUUGACCCUCACAAGCUUGAUAUAAGUGAUGAGUUCAAACGUGUCAUUUCAUCUUUACGUGGGCAUGAUGACAAAAUACGCGUAGUGUUGAACAAGGCCGACCAAGUUGACACACAACAGGUACAAGUUUUUCCUUGCAAUCGAUUUGUAUGACCUGUUAUGCUUAUCCUUUAUUUCGUUUGCUAAAAGGUCUAUUAUGAUGAAUAAUUUUUUUUCUUCUGUCUUCUGCGCUACAGCUUAUGAGAGUGUAUGGUGCAUUGAUGUGGUCUCUUGGGAAAGUGCUAAAUACUCCUGAGGUUGUGCGUGUGUAUAUCGGGUACUUUCUUAUGCCUGCUAUUUGUUACAUUUACUCCUCUAUUACUUUUGAGCAAUGGACGUGUUACAAGGCUUGUACAAUAAGUAAAAAAAUAUAUGCAUGUUGAUGGAGGUUCAAAAUUCAAAUUAAAAUAUAUAUCUAAUUUGCAUUGGGUUGUAGCCGAAUCUUCACAAAAGUUAGCAGUUGUUCAACAGAGUAUAAACUAAUUGGGUUGUCACUUUGGAAUCAUUAUUUGCAGAUCAUUUAAUGAUAAGCCAGUGAAUGAUUCAGCUGUUGGGCCAAUUGGAAAAGACUUGUUUGAGAGGGAGCAAGAUGACCUCCUCUGUGACCUGAAGGACAUUCCUAAGAAAGCCUGUGAUCGACGGGUAAGUUGAAAUGUUGAGUCAUCUGUCAGAAUCCUCCCUUCCUGUACUGGAUUUCUGAAACGGACAGCACCGUUUCUUCCAGGUCAAUGAGUUUGUUAAGCGUGCCCGAGCUGCCAAGAUCCAUGCUUACAUAAUUGGCCAUCUGAAGAAGGAGAUGCCUGCAAUGAUGGGAAAAGCCAAGGCUCAGCAGCGACUCAUAGACAACUUAGACGAGGAGUUUGCAAAGGUACUUACACAUAACUUGAUUGCUCGUAUGUCUAUGACUGGGGUCUAAUUUCAUAUUUUCAGCAGAAGAUUUUCUUGAUAAGAUUGAUCAUUUGAAUAGUAAAAUGUUGCUUUUGGGCAAAAGUUUUUUCUUGGGGGGUUACUAAUGGGUAGGCUGCAGGUAUAUGAUAACUCGUCUACAACUAACCUUGAUUUGGUCGCACCUAAAUCCAAAGUUACUGUCAUUUUUCCUCUUUUCUUUUUGCUCAACAUCCCUCUGCUUGGCUGAUACUCGUGGUCCGGUGGAACAGGUGCAGAGGGAAUACCAUCUCCCCGCCGGAGACUUCCCCGACGUCGAGCACUUCAAGCAGGUGCUGGGCGGGUACAGCAUCGACAAGUUCGAGAAGCUGAAGCCGAAGAUGGUGCAGGCGGUGGACGACAUGCUCGCUCACGACAUCCCGGAGCUCCUCAAGAACUUGCGGAACCCGUACGAGUGAACUGAUCUGACCUCUCGCGUCCGUCGGUUGUAAAAAGAUUAUCUUAGCUGUCACGUCCGGUGAUGGCGGACGGACGAGGCAGACGUUCCUGGGAGGGAGAUGCCUAGACGGUUACGGGUCACUACUUCUAGCUGUCCGCAGCUGUGCCAAAACCGAGAGGACACAUGAGGGUUCAGAUCGGACAGCCACAGCGCAUAGCCUGUGUUGGUUUCGGCGUCAGUGCUCUCUGCACGCGAAGGAGCUGCUGCGGCACCGUUGCCGUGCCGUCUCGCUGUGAUACAUUUUCCCUCGUGACGAGAUGAAAAGAGAGUUGCAGGCGGCAGAAGCGAUACGGUGCAAUGAUAGCUUGAGACCAUGUGACGUUGCUGGGCCUGGGCGGCACACGAUGCGUGACGCACCAGCGCCGCGCCGCACCCGCUGCCUUUGCCCUGUGGUGUCCCGGCUGGUGGUGUUUUGCGUACGAGCGCGGGGCAGAUCGUUUGGACCUGGAUGGACGGUGUCUGGCCGACUCCACACACAUGAUAAUGGGCUCGCCCUUGAAGUGGGGCCGUGUGUCGUCCGUCCCUCUCCCUUGGUGGCCUGCUUUUUUUUUCUUUGAAAAAAUUACUGGAACCUCUAGAUAUUGUUUUCCCAGAAAUCCUAGAUGAGCUGGUGGAUUACACGCAUUCCAAAGCGGUCAAAGAACAUGGACGUGAGACAGGUAAAUGGCGGUUAGUUUUUAUGUUUAAUUACCGCACUGGCUUGGCUUAGCUUUGCACGUGGAAGAAGUGAAACAAGCUCGAUUCAGCUCCCGUUUGGCAGCACUAAACUGACGGUGUCCACAGCCACAGGCAGGCAGGCAGCACAGUGGCGCGAAUAUGCCGCCCCCGCACUAGUGGCACCGCGGCUACCAGCACGACACGCUCGGGCGCACCCAGGCCAGGCCGGCAAGCGUCGCAUCGGCAUCGCUAAAAUCCGGCGCGCCCAACCCACCACACCACACCGCUGGGUCUGGCCUCUGGCGGUGGCGACUGGCGAGGCUUGAGAGGAGGCGCGGCAGGCAGAGGCAGCCGACCGACCCCGGGACGUGGACGUGGUGACGCGGUCGGGGAAAUCAACCCGACAGACCGACGCGGCGCCCGGGUCGUGGCGGGCCCGGCGUGUCAGCCUCCGCGGGGCCGUGCCGACCAAACAGGCGCGGGCGCGGGAGGAAAGGUAAGGAAAGGCCACUCGGGGGGCGGGGCGGGGCCUGGCCAAGCCAAGCCAAACGCGGAGUCGCCGAGGAGGAGGAGGAGGACAAGGCACAACAAGCCGCACGAGAAGGCAGGCAGGGCAGGGCAGGGCAGGGCAGAGGGGAAGAAAGAGGAGGAGGAGAAGAAGCGCGUGGAGGAGCGGGAUGCGGCGGGCGAGGCUGCCGCCGGUCCCGGUCCCGACGGCGCCGGGGGACGCGGGGCCGGAGGUGAAGUACCGCGGGGUGAGGCGGCGGCCGUCGGGGCGGUACGCGGCCGAGAUCCGGGACCCGGCUAGGAAGACCCCGAUCUGGCUGGGCACCUUCGACUCGGCCGAGGCCGCGGCCCGCGCCUACGACGCCGCAGCCAGGACCAUCCGCGGCGCCGCCGCGCGGACCAACUUCCCCUCCGCGCCCACCUCCGCCGCGGUCGCGCCGCCGCCGCCACUCCCCGCCUCAACCGCCGCCGCGGCGGGCGCGGCGACGUCCAGCCUCAGCAGCACCGUGGAGUCCUGGAGCGGCGGCGGCGGCGGCGGCGCGCCCGCCGGGAUCCUCCGCGCCGCGGCCGCCCCGGCCGCCGAGGAGGACUGCCGCAGCUACUGCGGCUCCUCGUCGUCGGUCCUCUGCGAGGACGGCGCGUCGGGUCCGGGCUGCGGCGACGAGGCCGCCGCGCCGCCGCCGUUGCCGUUCGAUCUGAACGUGCCGGACCCGGCGGCCGACGACAUGGACUGGCGCUGCGACACGCUGCUCCGCCUCUAGCCGCCGCCGCCGCAGGCCCGCAACCACUCCUCCCCAGACUGGUGCCCCCAGGAUAUCUCGCUCGCUUCGCGUGGCCGGCCGACGCUGAUCCGGCGGAACGGAGCGGAGCAAUGCGUGCGUGCGUACCCCACCCCGCCAUGAAGUGCUAUCGUGCUAUUUUGCUAUUCUCUCCAUAGAAAUUGAUAAUUUUAGUCUCUCUCUCUUUUUUUUUACCACUGCCAAGACUCGGUAAUUACUCUGUGAUAAUGUGAAUAACUCAUUAUGUAAUCCGUGGGGAGUGGAGGGAGCCUGGUCUCGCGAAACCUUCCUGUCUCCUCCUGCUGUGUGUGUAUCUGUAGCAGCAGCAGCAGCAGCACGAUGUAAUACUGUCUGUCUUGCUGUAAUUCUCAAGAGAUAAUGGAAUUAAGAGUGAUUUACAGACACCUUGCUUCUGUGUACUUACUGGCUGCUACUUACUUCGAUUGUGAUAUAGGGCGUGUUCGGCUGGCUGCAAGCCGACACUGUUGCAGCUGUUUGGAUUGCUGCAGCUGCAAUCCAUAGAGAGAAAAAUACUGUAGAAGCCGUAGCCGCAGCCGGAUUGCAGCCGCAGCAAGCCGCAGCGAACAAGCUGAUAUACUUGUGUGCCCUGUCCUUCAUGAGAGCAGAGCUGCAGAAGUUCUCGAGUGGAAUCAGGAUUUCCAGGAGUAUGAUCGGCUUCAGUCCAAAGCCAGCCGAUAGCAUCUGAGAUCUGAUCCGGGCUGGGACGCGUUGCGGCACUCUGCAGAGCGGGCAGAAAACCCCAUCAGGUCAGGGUCCGGGGCUGGGGACACACGUUGCCGUCGGACGAGCCUGUGCUGUGCGCCGCGGAUCGGGACUGCGAUUG
This 50624-nucleotide long non-coding RNA is filed under the name Zea mays. RNAcentral's name for it is "long non-coding RNA (ZMAY_LNC002833)". Lineage: Eukaryota; Viridiplantae; Streptophyta; Magnoliopsida; Poales; Poaceae. The record is from RNAcentral.